RNAcentral lists this long non-coding RNA (72234 nucleotides) under Physcomitrium patens. RNAcentral describes it as "long non-coding RNA (PPAT_LNC013952)". The record is from RNAcentral. Lineage: Eukaryota; Viridiplantae; Streptophyta; Bryopsida; Funariales; Funariaceae.
UUUUUUUUUUUUUUUUUUUUUUCCUGGUGAAGGCUCUUUGCUGAUAAUCUGUUAUGCAGAGUGCACGGAUCCAGUUGUUGAUUUCCAUUUCACACAUAUCAAAAUAAAGUCCACCUGGGAUACAAGUGAAAGCGCAUAAGGAGAGACAAGAACUUUGAGAACUAGGGUGUCAUGCAAAAACAUUCACUCGUAAGAGUUUGAACCGAUUUGAAGUUAAAUGCACCGAAGGAAUCGCUCGUGUCUAGGACAUUUAUUAAACACAAACAUACCCGUCCUGUCUUGAAAUCGAUUUCAAAUAUUUGAAGCACAGAUUCAACCAGUGUAAGAGGUCUUUAAGAAUAAACAGAAUCGGAAAAGCCGUCAGUCUCAUAAGUCCUGAAGGACGAAUCGGAUUGAUUGAGGGGAUAUAGUUGUGUCCUUCUCGACCGCAACCUAUGAACAGAAAACGAAAUGAUCCAGUACCACUAACGCAGAAACAGAAUCGUGCCCUCUUGACCCAGAAAACGGGGAAAAUCGAGGAAAUACAAAAAACAUCAAAACGAAACAAAACAAAAUGUGAUUGCCCCUCCGAUUCCCCUCCAAGAUUUCUACGUGUAAUGAAAUCCUUUAUCACAGUCAAGAUUCUAGAAUGAAAAUAUACCUCAAGAUGAGCUUCCACUCCACAAUCGCUCGAUAACGUAUGAAAAACGUUAAAUUCUUCCCAAACAGUGCAUCUUCAAAACACGUCCUAGACAACCCAAAUCACGAGAGGCUCUGCAUUCGCUAAUACAAUUCACCGCUCUUUUAUCUCCGCAUUGCAAACAAACUAGAAACUACCGCCGCCCACCCAAAAUCCACACAAAAUCCAAUCGCACUACCCGUCCACGUCAGACACCGACCGCCCCCUGAAUGAUAACCAUCUCCAGGAAUCUAGCGAGCUAAUUCACCUCUUUGAAAUAAUCUAAGACCACCCCAACAAAUCUAAUCAACCAACCCCGAUCUACACACUAAAACCAUGAAUCCGAGCCAAAGCAAGCUCCAAUCAAGGCGUUAAAAUAGUAGCCGCCUCUGACUCAUCUCUGCAACGCAAGGAUCCGACGCAGUACAUGGCAGUGACAGAGAAUAAAACACAAUGAAACGGUAAUGAGACCUGCCUUAGAAAAUGUCAAACUCGCCUUUAUCACCAGGCUAAAUUAGGGCGGGGAAGUAGGUGAUCCUAAGCAUGACACAAUAGUAGCAACAGUAAACUGGAUUAGUUGUUGGCUACCACAGCACUCAAUUCGGCCCCUGCUUAGCCCACGAACAUGGCAGAGCAACUAAAUAUUACCCCGAAUUCCACUAAAUCUGUAAUUUCUGCCGCUGCGACAAGUAUGGCACAGGGAGCCGGUCAAGUUCAAGCACUUCGCUCUGGGAUGAGGAUAACUUUCUUAUGAAUUAGAAGUAGCACAUUGAUUAGCGAAGGCUAUUCUUAGCCGUAGCGAGAGAUCGGAAAAGUAAACUACAUAGCUUACACUUAGGGCAUUUCAUUUCGCUUGGUAGCUACCUCAUCAACGUAUUUAUUGUGCUGAAGGUGGGGUUACAUUUUCUCCGUUGAGACACAUGACGCGAAAUUGUUGGCACAGUUGAAGAAGCCCAGGAUAAUCUUGGUGGAGAGUUAAAAAUCACUUGUUGGGGUUUGCACUAUGAUCAGGAACCCAACAGAACAAGAAGAUGGCCACCCACAAGCUUGUCGUGCAGUCAUUGAUAGAACUGCAUGUUCAAUACAUUGCUAUCUUGUCUAGUUACUUUUCCUUUAUCUAGAAUUCUUCUGAAUUGAGCUUAUUUUUUCCUUGUCGUCAUUUUGUCUCUGCUGUUUUUUAGAACGAAAUGAGAUAUAAACUUGCUCAUUGUAGCGUGACCUGCGAUUAUCGACAGCUGGAGUGACGGUGGGGCCCAGAAUUGACCAAGUCAGAAGUCAUAUCCUUGCUUUAGAAUCGAUGCAAUGCUAUUGACUCCCUUGGGCAUUCUUGAUCCUCAGCAGAAGUAAGGAUGGUCGGUCGACCUCCUCUGCAGACACCUGUUCUUGUGCGGGAGUAACAACUCACAUUGAAGGUAGACCUUGUAGAUUGAAUCUAGACCCAGCAGAAGGACUCUGCAUUCGAUUUGGGAGACGACGAAGUGAAGCGAAGUCCUUCCUCUCGGUCUGUGUGACAGUGUCCGGCUGAAUGGUCAGGUUGAAUGACUAUCUUACCUUUCAUGACUUUGAUCAUUACUGCAACUGGAUCAUUUGGACUUUUACUGUCGGUGUUAUGAAUCUUAAGCAUUCAUAAAAUCCAAGAGAGUACUUGGAAAAGUCCUUUAAGGUCGCAAUAGAUUUUUGUCUGUUUCUAUAAACCUUAAUAAAUUCCCCGACUACAGCAGCCAUUUACGAAUCUGGUGGGUGGUGGAAUCACUAUUUCACAAACCAGUUGUGACAUCUUCCAACACGCAGAGUCUAAGCUGCCAGAUAAUCGACUUUGCACCGCACAUCCUUCAGCUACGCACAGGCAUUCAACACUGGUAUAUGUGUGCACGACCAACACCACAGCAGUUUAUAAUGCAACCCAAGCAACCUUGGUAACAACUUUGCCAGUGCCGGCAAAAGCAUAGCUGCUAGAGACUAAUCGAUGAAAGCCAUGAAGGGAUGUGGACGAGAGCCUCACCAGAACUGUCAAUAGCUGAAAGUCGUGCCGACCUUUGAGGGCUUUGCGAAGUACACCUGGAACGUCUUAUCCUCUCAACGAUUGAGAACUAUGCCCACGGACAAUUACAGAUGAAAUUCAACAUUGGUUCAGUUUCUGCUGAUUGACGCAGCUGACAGGUGAAAUGAAUGAAACAUAUCUACAACACAAAAUGAGUAAACAAACAAACAAACAAACAGAAAUAAAUAGUGGCACCAUCAGGAAAAGCCACGAGAGACACUACAUGAAAUCACAACAACAAAAUGUAGCCAUCAUUGCCAUCCCCAUCCAUCAGAUUACAUCACACUUCCCUCGGAACACAGCCAGAGAAAACUAUGGAAAACAAACAUCCCUAAUUUCGCAAGCUUCAGAACCGUAGUCUCCAAUAUUCACUGAGCAUACUCAGUCGUGAAAACAUUUACACCUCGAAUUGUGCAAACAGUUAGGUGCACAUCUUCGAUCGAUCACAAUAAAUUAUUCCUCCAUCUUCCGUUUCCUUCGCUCAUCUGCGCAUCGAGUUCUAUGAGAAUUUCCAGAUCAUCUCAGCUGUAAGUGCAUCUGAAGCCACCGCACGUGAUGUGGCCCAGCGGAGCGGAUUCUUUGUUUCGUUUCCAUCGAUUUCGCCGCUUCACGUUCGCUAUGGCACUCCCACGAAUGCUUCAUCGCAGUGCUCCAUCACUCGCACAUGGUUUGAAAUCGCACCGAAACCCUAUGUUGUCUCGCACUCCCUUGUUGCCAGGACCGUUCAUGACAUCGACAAUGCUACCAUGCCGAGGUUUAGGGUUUCAGUUUUUUCAUUUGUUUCGUGAGCAUUAGGGGAGAAAUAGGUUGGAUAACUUUAAAGCCAAGAUAAGCAAUUACAGAUUAGGUUAAGUUGAAGUAUGAUUGGUUGAGAUUAAUAAUAAUUGUUGAGAUUAAUAAUAAUUGUCAUUUAGAUGUGUACAGUGAACUAUGAUUGGUUGAGAUUGAAAAGAGUUGUCACUUAGAUAUAUACAGUGUAUUGUAAUGUAAACAGAAUAAUGAGAAGGAAAUUAAGUUACAGAAUGAUUUAAUAAUUAGACUUCGUGGGCCUAAAAAUGCUGGUGCAUGCAAAAAUCAUUAUUAUUCUCAUGUGAAUGUUAGAUAGAACAAUGUAAUUUGCAUAAUUAGAAAUUGUUUUAUUUAGCAAAUUGGAAUAUGUAUUUUAAUUCUAUUUGGAAAUGAAUAAUUAAACAUAUUACAAUUUUGAAUUUUGAUUGAUGGUUGCACUUAAGAUAAUUUCAAUUAACUUAUUGUUUCAAAUUAGUAAUAAUAAAUAAGAAAUAAAAUAUCAACUUACGUAGUUUUAACUCUUAUUAUUUUAAAAAAAGUAAUUAAAAUUUUGUUUGCAUACAAAACUCUCUCUCUUUAUAUAUAUAUAUAUAUAUAUAUAUAUAUUAGGUAUUGUUAUUAUCACCCCAAUUUUUGCAAUUAUCACUACAACCUACCAUCUAUAACAUGUCACCAUGGUUUUUGCUAAUGCUACUACAAACUACCUUAAACUUGAGUUACACACUAUAAAGUAUUUAUCUCAACUAUUAAUGUUAUAACCAAAACAUCAUUUUAAUUACUCUAGUCUUUAUUAAUUACUUUGUGAUACUUAAUUACUUUUCUUAUUUUCAAAAGUUGGAGAAUCAAAGGGCCAUGCUUCUACUUAUUCUUCUCUAAUCCUACAUAUAUACUUGACACCACCCUCUUUCUUCUCUUUCCAUCACCUUAUCCGUAAACCACAUGUAUUCUUUCUUCCUAAUCCUCAAUUUCUUUGCUCCACAUGCAAUUUCCAUCAAUGUUUUCAUAAGAAUUUUUUACUCACCUCAAACUUUUUAACAUAAACAAACUUGAAUUUCUACAAAUUGCCAAGUUAGUGCUUAAUGAAGAUUGCAGCUCUUAAAAAGAUAGAAACACUUCUAUGACAAUAGAAACAAUAAGUAUAUCAAAAAAGAAAAACUAUCAUCUACCAUCAUAUGUUUCUAGCUAAGCUGACGUAUGUCUUUUUUUAUUCUAUGUAUUACAACCUCCCUUCUAUUUUCUAAAAUACUUUCUUACCUCAAGAUCCAUAAGUUCAAACCUUAUAAUCUUUCUGCUGACAAUUGCAAAUCUAAUGGUGAUACCUACAAAUAUAUAUAUCAAUCCAAGCAUUUUUAGUACAAAUUGUUGAUUCAUGUUGCAUAUUUUUUCUAUAUUAGUGUUUUAUGAAUCUCUUUAUUUAGAUGAGACCUUAUCAAAGUAGUAGAUAUCUUUUUAUGGUAUUAAGUAGAAUUACUUCUUUUAUGAUUUAUUCUCAAUUUAUUUAUAAAAAUUCCUCAUUUUUCAUAUUUGACUAAGAAAUAGAAAUAAAAUUAUGGUGAUGAUUUCAUACAAUAGAUCAUGACUACUUUAUUACUUUUUAAUCAUUCUUGGUGCUAAAGAUAUGUUGCAAUAAUGUCCACAAUAUAAAUUAUAAACAAUCAAAACAUCAAUACACUUUUAUCACCAAGAAAGAUUAUAAAUUCAAAUCCAUGUUUGUAAAGCUUUUAAGAAGCUUUUUUUACAUGUUAUUAUAAAAUUUACCUAUUUUUAUUUAUUUAUAUUUUAUUUAUUUUAUUUAUAUAAUUAAUGAUAUUGGUUAUAUCUAUAACAAGUAAAUAUAUAGAAGAGAGUAGAGCUUCCUUAAAUUUUUGUGGUGUUUUCUAUGAAGGAUUGAUUCUUGUUGUUAUCUCCCAUUUUUCGUCUUCUAUCUCUUCUAUUAUACUAUACAUUUACUCUUACUUAAUUAAUUGUACUCCAAGUAGAUAAAUCUAAAAAUUAGUUAUUGCAUGUUGUAUUAUAUGUAAUUGUUAGAUUUUACAAGGAACUAACAAGCACUCACAAAUAGCAGUAAAAAAUCUUAUAGUCUCCAAAAAAUUGAUGGUUAAUUUCAUUAGUUAGUUCUUUCUCUUGGAAUUGUAUGUAGAGUAUGGAGGUUGAGGUUGUGAAACAAAAAAAAAAGAAAGAAAGUGGUGUGUAGAAAAGUAAUAAAAAGUAAUGAAAAGUAAUGAAAAAUCAUAAUUUUAAGUAUGCAUUAAUAGAAAUUAAAGCAAAAUUUGAUCUAGAAUGAACUUUCACUAAGAUUAAUUUGUUCCAUCUUCCAUAAGUUUGGCCUUAUCCAACAUGGCUCUAGAUUACUUAUUCUUCUUAUCUUUUUGUGAUCAAUUUUUUUAGUUUGUUGACAAUUCUUCUAUUAAGUCCAUAAACGCUUCAACAUGUGUCAAAGACAUGAAUCAUAGCAAAAUUCUACACAUGCAAUAUAUUCUUUUGACAUUGUUAAUAAAAAAGCAAACAAUUGAAAGAUAGAUCUAAGAUAAAAAAUAGAAUGUCUAUUACCAAAUACAAAGUUACUAGAGAUUCAUAAGAUAAAAGAAGAAUACCAAAAAGACAUUAACAAAAGUAAAGAAGGUCUAAUUCUAACUUCUAUAUAUAUUAUCUAAUUAAAGAGCUAUAUGGCAAUAUUCUAUGAGUCGUCCGACACAUAACAACUUGAAAAACACAUGUCAAAUUUAUAAGAUAAGUUUUCUACAAGAGUGCCAUAUGGCCAAAUUCUACCAUAAGUAGCCAAAAUAUACAAUAAGUGGUCAAUAAAACACUUGGCCAACUUGUUGGCCAAAUUUUCAACCUACUACUUACCUACAAACACUUGUAAUGUUAAAUAUGUGUUUACAAAACUUUAUGAAGGAUAUGAAUCUUGAAGAAAUAAAAAAUUAAUUACUCUUGUAUCACUCCAAAAGACUAAAUUUUCAUUAAAAGAUGGUGUAAUAUUAAACUAAAGUGGCUAUUCUAAAGGCAAAAAAAACUAAAGUCUCUUGAAACAAGACUAAGAAUAAAAAAAUUUAUUAAUAAGAAUGAAAAAGGCUUCACUCUUUCUUUUAUAUAUACUAACUUACUAGGAACUAUCUGAUAACAUUCUAUAGGACUUCCAACACGUGUCCAACUUGCAAGACACAUGUCUAACUUAUAUAAGUUUUUUAUAUGUGCACCACAUAGUCAACUUAUUUUAUAAGCUACUAAUACAUGUAAUACAGGGCUAACUUAUUGGCAAAAUUUCUAACCUACUAAUCAAAUACAAAUAUAUCUAAAGUCAAAUUUGUAUCUAUACAGCUUCUAAGAAGCUUUGCCAGAAGAUAAUAUCAAAUCUAUCUACAUUUAUUUUUUAUCUAAUAUUUUUUUAUUUAGAUAAAUACAUAUGUUUGUCAAAUUAUUUUUCUUUUAAGGAAAAAUUCCACAAAAAGUGGCAAUCAUAUAUUAAAAAAAUUGAAGAAGUAUAAAUUAUAUUUGUCACAUAUUUUAAUCUUAAUUCCCUCUGAAGGUGGUUGAUAGGUCCUUUCAUUUAUCAAUAGAAUCUCAUACCAAGGCAAGAAGACUAUCUUAUUAUUUGAUUAUUACUAAGGCCUUUGUAACCUCAAAUAAAAUAUUUAUAAUACCAUGAAGGAUGGUUCCUACUUCUAAAAAUAUUAUCAAGCAUCAAGAGUUUCUUCCAAAGUUAUGAUACCAAAUAUAUUAUAUUUUAUCAUAUAUUUAAGGAAGAACAUCUUAUACUUUAGGAUCUUUAUUUUUAUUGGUUGGACUUGAAGGUUAUAAUAGUUAUAAUGUCUCAUUUGAUAAUUUAGCAAAUGAUAACUCUUGAAUUGAAUCUGCUAGUUGUUUAUUUUUCAUCUUUUUAGUACCACAAAUAAAAAAAAAUUAAAAAUAAGGAUAGAUAGUAAAAUAUGAUCUUUCUUGAAACUUAUUUUUUUAUACUAAAGAUUUGUUAUUCUUCAUUUUGAUUUUGAUGGAAUUAUUGAUUAAAAAAACAUCAAUCUUCUUUAUUGUAUUUAUAAGAUUCUUGAUUGGCUUCUAUGUGCAUUCACUAAUAUCAUAUCUAUGCCAAUAAAUGAGAUAUUUUAAUCUAUUUUGAUGCCACCUUGAAUCUAAGACGUUUUUGACUUCAUAUCCUUAAUUAUUAUCUAUUUCUAUAGAGGACAUUGGAAUUUAUCAUCUUCUUGGUAUAUUUAUUUUUUUGUAUAGCUCAAGAAGAGAUACAUGGAACAUCAGAUGGAUCUUUAUAGACUCUAGUAUGUGCAAUUGAUAAGUAACUCAAUUAAUUAGUUUAUAAAUAAAAAAUGGUCCAAAUCUAUAAUAAUCCAACUUGUUAUAAAGACAAAUAGUAUUAAUAUUAUGACUAAAUAACCAUACCUUGUUGCCAACAUGGAAUUAAAGUUAUUCCUUGCAAUAAGCAAUUAUAUUGAUCUUUUUUCACUCUAAAGCUUUUUUUAAUUGUGCCUUUAUUAUUGCAUGUAGCUUUGACAAAAAAUUCACUAGAUCUUUUGUUGUAAAAUUAUCAACUUUUAAAAAGUCAAGUAUUAAAUCAUAGAUGAUAACCAUAAUUGGUAAAAAAAGAUAUUUAUUGAGUAGAAGAAUAUAUUGUAUUAUUAUAAGCAAAAUUUACCAAUGGAAAAAAAAUUAUCCAAUCAUCUUAUUGAUAGUUGAUGGUAUACCUCAAAUAUUGCUCUAGAAUUUGUUCAUUUGUCUAUUAAUUUGAGGAUAAAAAACCAAAGAUAAUUUUGUGUCCAUCUUUAAAAUCUUGAAAAGAGUUUUUUAAAGUUUUAGUAUAAAUUGAGUCCCUCUAUUUGAUAUAAUAUUUUUUAGUAAUCUAUGAAAAUAAUAAAUAUUGUUAAAGAAAAGCUUAGCUAUUUUUUUACUUAUUAUAAAUUUUAUACAUGGUACAAAAUAAACUAUCUUGAUCAAUUAAUCUACUAUUAAAAAUAUAAUCAUAAGAACUUAAGUUUGAAAGAUCUGUGAUAAAAUCUAUAAAAACAAAAGACCAUGGUUUUUUAAAAAUAUAUAAUGACUAAAAAAGUCCAUAAGAUUGAUGAUAUGGAGUCUUUAAUCUUAAAAAAAUUUCACAUGAUUGCACAAAGUCUUUGACUACCUUCUAUAUUUAAGGCUAUUGAAACUCUCUGAAUAUUAGUUCUAAAGUCUUAUCAUAUCUUAAAUGUUCAAUUUCUAGAAAAUUGUGAUAAGCUUUAAUAAUACAUAAUUAUCCUUCAUCUUUUAGAAUAUAUAAGCAACUCUUGAAAUAGAAUAGAUUAUUUUUGAAUUUAAACUUAAAAUUAUUAUGAGACUUAAAAGAAUUAUAUUUAAUAUUAUAAAUAAGAAGAUCACAAAGUCCACUUUAUUGAAUUUACUUGAAAAAGGUUAUAUCAAUAAUUAAUAUUGAUUUUAUUGCUCAAAAAUAAAAAUUCUCUAACUUCUAAACAAUGAUGCAUUUUAAAAAUAAAUCUACAAUUAAAAAAAAAACUUUUUUAUGCAUUUCAUAAUUAAUCUGAAUUAUUAAAUUUUUUUAGAAUAGAAAGCUAUUGGAUGGAGUUUGUCAUUUUUUCCCAUUUUUGACAAUAUUUCUCCUAAAGAAAAAAUUGAUGAAUCUAUUUUUAUAAAAAAAAUACCUUGGAAAAAUUGACAUAAUAUAAGAUUGGUAUAAAAAUGAAAGAUGUCUUUAAGGCUCUAAAAGAUGCUUCAGCUUCUAUGCUUAAUUCAAUUUUGACUUUACAUAUAAGAUACAUAAAAAGAGCCUCAAUUUGAAAAAAGUUCUUAAUACAGAUUCAAUGAUAAUUGUCAAAUUUCAAAAAACAUUAGAUAUCUCCUACUAUUUUUGGAUCUUUUUAAUUCAUGAUAGUUUAGACUUAAGAUCUAUGAUAAGGCCAUCAUAUAAAAUGAUGUAUACUAAAAAAUCAACUUGUGUCAAGGACAAAGACUCGAUGAGGAAAAAUAUACACCAAAAGGCUAUCUCGAUAUAAUAAGUCAAAAUAUAAACAAGUAGGUAUAUUAAAAGGAAACUGGAAUGGCUAUUGCCACAAGACAAGAAACUAAAGACUCUUGAACCUGGACUAGAAGCAAGAAAGGAGUUGACAAGAGUGAAGAAGCCUUCACUCUUGUCUCUAUAUAUACUAUCUAACUAGGGGCUACGUGGCGACGUUCUAUAGGACCUCCAAUAUGUGUUGACUUUGUAGGACACAUGCCUUGACUUACAAGGCAAGUUUUUCUACGUGUGGGCCACAUAGUUAGCUUGAUCUUCAAGCUAACAACAUGUGUGGCACAUGGCCAACUUGUUGACCACGUUUCUAAUCCAAAAAGUCAAUUAAAGACACCUAUGAAGUCAAAGCAGCGUCUAGGAAGUUUCUAGAAAGCUUCUAUAUUAAAUAUUAUAUAAUUAACUUACUUUUAUCUACUUUUACUUACUUCUACCUAUUUCUAUAUGUAAUUAUUAGCUUACAUGAUUAUGGCCGUGACAUUACCCCCCCUUCUAGAGACGAGUUCCACGAGGAGCGGUCAUCAUAUGUUGAGGAAAUCUAUGAUGCGACGAAUUGUAUUCGCCACAUACUCUGAUCUCUGUUCUCUUUGAAGAUGAUUGAUAGGGCCUCUCAACCAUCGGUAGUAUCCCAUACCAGGGCGGGAAGACCACCCAGUUAUUUGAUCAUUAUUGAGGCCUUCAUAACUUCCUUCGAAUAGAAUAUUCGGAACACCAUCAGGAGUUGUUCCUACCUCUAGCAAAAUCACCAAACAUCGGGAGUCCCUUCCCAAAUCAUGAUACCAAACGCGUUGUAUCUCACCAUCUGUUCGAGGAAGAACAUGUCGUUCUUGAAGAUCUUCAUCUCGAUUGCGUCGUCUUGAAGGUUGUGACAAUCGUAAUGUCUCGUCCGGCAGGUCAGCAAACGAAGGUUCUUGAGUUGAAUCCGCUGGUUGUUGGCUCUCCAUCUAAUUAGCAUCACAAAUGUAAAGAAGUUACAAACAAGGAUAGGAAAUUGAAUGUUAUCUUGCCUCAAUCUUGUCUCUUUUAUAAGAGAGAUUUUCAUCUUGGUUUUGAUGGAUGUCGUUGAUGAAAAACUUUGACUUUAGCUGAUGCAUUUGCUAGAUUCCUGGAUGGCUCCCAUGUGCGUUCACUAAUAUCAUAUCCGCGCCAAUGAACAAGAUAUUCCAGCUUAUUUCGGCGCCGCCUUGAGUCUAAUAUCUCUUCCACCUCAAAUUCUUCAUUAUUAUCUACUUCUAUAAGAGGCGGUGGUAUUUGUCUUCUUCCUUGUAUAUCCACUGUCUUAUAUGGUUCAAGAAGAGAUACGUGGAAUACAGGAUGGAUCUUCAUUGACUCCGGUAGAUGUAACCGAUAUGCAACUGGGUUGAUCUGUUCAGAAACAGAAAAGGGGCCAAGCCUACGAUAGUCCAACUUGUCACAAGGUUGAGUAGUCUUGAUAUUGCGACGAAGUAGCCAUACCUUAUCACCCACGUUGAUUUGUGGUUGCUCCUUAUGAUAUAGAUCUACGUUUAUCUUUUGUCGUUCUUGAGCUUCCUUCAAUUGUGUCUUCAUUAUUGCAUGUAACUCUGACAACCGAUUUGCCAUAUCUUCUACUGCAGGAUUAUCAACUUUUGAAAAAUCAAAAGUAUCAAGUCGUGGAUGAUAGCCAUAAUUGGCAAAGAAAGGUGUUUGUUGCGUGGAAGAAUGUACCGUAUUAUUAUAAGCAAACUCUGCCAAUGGCAGAAGGGUUGUCCAAUCAUCUUGUUGGUAGUUGAUAGUACACCUUAAAUAUUGCUCCAAGACUUGGUUUACGCGCUCUGUUUGUCCAUCAGUUUGAGGAUGGAAAGCCGAAGAUAGCUUUAUGUCCACUUUUAAAAUCUUGAAAAGGGUCCUCCAAAAUCUUGACACAAAUUGAGUUCCCCUAUCCGAUAUGAUAUCUUUAGGUAAUCCAUGAUAGCGAUAGAUAUUAUCAAUGAAAAGCUUAGCUGUUUCUUCACCUGUGAUAGAUUUUGUACAUGGCACAAAAUAUGCCAUCUUGGUGAAACGAUCUACUAUCACAAAUAUAGAAUCAUAAGAUCUUGAGCUUGGAAGAUCUGUGAUGAAAUCCAUAGAAACAGAAGACCAUGGUUGUUCUGGUAUAGGUAAUGGCUGAAGAAGUCCGUAAGGUCGAUGACGAGGAAUUUUUGAUCUUGAACAAAUAUCACAUGAUUGUACAAAGUCUUUGACUGACUUCCACAUUUGUGGCCACCAAAAAUCUCUUGAUAUGAGUUCCAAAGUCUUAUUAUAUCCAAAGUGUCCUGCUGCUGGAAAGUCAUGACGUGCUUGAAGAACACGUAAACGUGCUUCUCCUUCUGGAACAUAUAGGCGUCCUUCAAAAUAUAAUAGAUUAUUCUUGAACUCAAACUUAGAAGGAUCAUGAGACUUGGAAGAAUUAUUCUCGAUAUCAUAAAUAAGAGGGUCUGAGGACAUACUGGACUGGAUUUGCUUGAGAAAAGUUGAAUCAACAGUCAAUGUUGAUUUCAUUGCUCGGAGAUGAAAUUGCUCCGGUUUCAAGACGACCGUUCUUUGUUGCUCAAAAGCUGCAUCUCCUUCUUUUGGUGCAAAAUAAGAACGUCUAGAUAAGGCAUCGGAUAAACCUUGUUGUUUUUCUAGCCGAUAAGUGAUAAUGAACUCGAAUCUUGACAAAGACAUACUCCAACGAGCUUGACGACGAUUCAACACGCGUGCUGACAUGAAAUACUCGAGGUUCUUGUGAUCUGUAUACACAGUGACUGGACUAGAAGCGCCUUCUAGAUAAUGACGCCAUUCUUGAAAGGAAUCCACGAUCGCAAGAAGUUCUUUAUCGUGGAUCUCAUAAUUGAUCUCGGCUGCUGAGAAUUUUCUUGAAUGAAAAGCUAUCGGAUGGAGUUUGUCAUCUGUUCCCAUUUGUGAUAAAACUGCACCCAAGGCAAAAUCUGAUGCAUCUGUUUCCAUAAAAAAUGCCUUGGAAAAGUCAACACGAUAUAAGACUGGUGCAGAGACAAACGAUGUCUUCAAGGCUUCAAAUGCUGCUUCCGCUUUUUGAUUCCAUUGAAAUUUAUCUUUACUAGUCAAGCGUGUAAGUGGAGCUGCAACUUGUGAAAAAUCUUUGAUGAAGAUCCGAUAGUAAUUGGCAAAUCUCAAGAAACAUUGGACAUCUCUUAUCGUCCUUGGAAUCUUCCAAUCCACGAUUGUUUGGACUUUCUUAGAAUCCAUCAUGAGACCAUCAUUUGAAAUGAUGUAUCCUAAAAAGUCAACUUGAGUAGUGUGAAAUACACACUUUUCCAUCUUGGCGUACAAUCCUGCAUCUCUAAGUUUUUGUAAUACUUGACGAACAUGUAUUUCAUGUUCUUCGACGUUCUUAGAAUAGAUCAGGAUAUCGUCUAGAUAGCAGACGACAAAAUUGUCUAAGAAUUCACGAAAUACAUCAUUCAUGAGAUGUUGAAAAGCAGCUGGUGCAUUCGUGAGUCCAAAGGGCAUGACAUUAUAUUCGAAAUGUCCAUACCUGGUUCGAAACGCAGUCUUCCAUUCAUCUCCUUCUUUGAUCCGUACUAGAUUAUAUGCUCCUCUUAGAUCUAUUUUUGUAUAGAUCUUAGCUUGAUUUAACUGGUCAAGGAGUCCUGAUAUCAAAGGUAAUGGAUACCUGUUCUUGAUUGUAAUCUUGUUGAGUCCUCGAUAAUCAACACACAUUCGUAAAGAUCCAUCUUUUUUCUUUACGAAUAGAAUUGGAGCUCCUGCUGGAGAUUUUGAAUGGCAUAUGAAAUUCUUCGCUAAAUUCUCGUCAAUAUAUGUCUUGAGUUCAGCCAUCUCAUCUUGCGAUAAACUGUAAAUUGGUCCAAAUGGUGGCUGAGUUCCUUCCUUGAGGUCGAUUGAACAAUCAUAUGGACGAUGCUCAGGAAGAAUAUCUGCAUUCUUUUUCUCAAAAACGUCUUGAUACUCUUGAUAUUGACUUGGAAUGCCACUUGAAGUCUUUACGUUUUCAGAAAUAGGUGCAGCAUAAAUAGCAAAAGUUGAUCCUUCUUUUGCUGCGUGUAUAAAUGCUUUUGCACCUAUCAGUACGGGUUUUACUGUACUAGACUUAUAAUUUUUUACUUGGUUCGUAGAACUAUUAAUAACGCUUUUGGAAAAGUCAAGUUUACGUGAAUUCCAAUCUAUUCGAGGGUUAUAUUUUUCUAGCCAGGAUAAACCUAAAAUAACUAGAUUGGACGGGGAUUUAAUUAUGUUAAACGCUAUGUAGCUAUCAUGACCGUCUAUUGUUACUUUUAUAGGAUGAGUUUCAUGAGUGACAUCUCCAGAAGACAAGGGACGACCAUCUAUGACUUCUACAUGUACUGGUUUAGGUUUCUGUACAUAGGGUAUUUUACGACUUUUAACAAAUUGUUCAUCUAAAAAACAUGCUGAGGCUCCCGAAUCUAAUAAAGCAGAGGCUUUGUAAUUCUUAGGUCCUAAAUAUAAGUCUAUUAUAAAACAAGGAGAGGGUUCUGAGGAGAGGAUAGGACCUUCAUUAGGAAUUGUACAAGGUUCCAGCUGCACGGUCCCUAUUGUAGCUGGACGAAUCCGUUUUCCGACAUGUUGUCUUCUUUGACCGUCGUACCCCUCCUUUUAUAGUUGCGUCGUUUCUUUGGACAAUGUUGAGCAGUGUGCUUAGGUUCUCCGCAAUAUAAACAUAAUCCUUCUUGACGACGAUGAAUCUUUUCUUGCUCAGUUAGAGGUUUAAAACGUACCGCGUCAAUUUGCAUGUCUUCUACUUCCGAAUGUACGUUUGGCAAAGAUGUUGAUGUUGCCAUUGAGUAAUAAAGUUGAGGUUCCCGUGAAUGAUUCUCAGAUCGAAAUUCAAAAAGUCGAUUAUCACAUUUUACCGCAAAAUCGAUUGCUUGACUCAAAGUUUGAGGAUCAGGUAAGUUGAGCAUCAAUUUCUUUACUUCGUAUUGCAAUCCAUAAAGAAAUUGACUGAUGAGUGCAGCAUCAUCCCACUUGAUGUCAAUUGCAUAUUAAAAGGAAACUGGAAUGGCUAUUGCCACAAGACAAGAAACUAAAGACUCUUGAACCUGGACUAGAAGCAAGAAAGGAGUUGACAAGAGUGAAGAAGCCUUCACUCUUGUCUCUAUAUAUACUAUCUAACUAGGGGCUACGUGGCGACGUUCUAUAGGACCUCCAAUAUGUGUUGACUUUGUAGGACACAUGCCUUGACUUACAAGGCAAGUUUUUCUACGUGUGGGCCACAUAGUUAGCUUGAUCUUCAAGCUAACAACAUGUGUGGCACAUGGCCAACUUGUUGACCACGUUUCUAAUCCAAAAAGUCAAUUAAAGACACCUAUGAAGUCAAAGCAGCGUCUAGGAAGUUUCUAGAAAGCUUCUAUAUUAAAUAUUAUAUAAUUAACUUACUUUUAUCUACUUUUACUUACUUCUACCUAUUUCUAUAUGUAAUUAUUAGCUUACAUGAUUAUGGCCGUGACAACUUGAGUAGUAUGAAAUACACACUUUUUCAUCUUGGUGUAUAAUCUUACAUCUCUAAAUUUUUGUAAUAUAUGUUAAAUAUGAAAUUUGGGCUCUUGUAUAUUUUUAGAAUAGAUUAGAAUAUAAUUUAUAUAUAUAUAUAUAUAUAUAUACCAUUCAUUAGAUAUUAAAAAGUACCUAUUGCAUUUGUGAGUAAGAAAAAUAUGACAUUACAUUCAAAAUGUCCAUAUUUUGUUCAAACCAUAGUCUUUUAUUCAUCUCCUUUUUUGAUGUAUACAAAAUUAUAUUUUGUCAUAGAUCUAUUUUUGUAUAGAUCUUCACUUGAUUGAAUUUAUCAAAAAGUCUUGAAAUCAAAGGUGAAGGAUAUUUAUUUUUGAUAGUGAUCUUGUUGAGCUCUCUAUAAUCUAUAUACAUCCAUAAUGAUAUGUCUUUCUACUUCAUAAAUAAGAUAAGAGUUCCUACUUGAGAUUUAAAUUAGUGUAUAAAGUUCUUAGUUAAGUUUUUAUCAAUGUAUUAUUUGAAUGCAAUCAACUUAUUUUGCAAUAAGCUAUAGAUUGAUCCAAAUGAUGGUUAGCUUUUGUCUUAAAGAUCAAUUAGACAAUCAAAUAGAUAAUACUUUAAAAGAAUAUUUGUAUUCUUCUUUUCAAAAAUAUCUUUAUAAUCUUAAUAUUGAUUUAGAAUAUCAAUUAUAGUCUUUCAACCAUCAAAGGCGGAUGUGGCAAAUAUAACUAAAAGUGACCCUUCUUUUAUUGUAUAAACUUAGAAUGUCAAUUUUAAUUUUUUGACCAUCAAAGAUGAAUGUGGUGUAUAGAAUAAAAGAUUUUUUUUUUUUUUUUUUUUUUUUUUUUUUUAAUAACAUGCAUGAAAGCUCUUGCACCUACCAAUAAGGAUUUUAUUGUAUUAAACUAUUAGAUUUUUAUUUGACUUAUAAAAUCUUAGAUUAAAUUAUAGAAAAAUUAAGGUUAUAAGAAAUCUAAUCUAUUUGAAGAUUAUACCUCUCUAGCCAUAAUAAUCCUAAAAUGACUAGGUUGGAGGGAGAUAUAAUCAUAUUAAAUAUUAAUAAGCUAUUAUGACUAUUAAUUGUUAUAUCUAAAAAAACAAUGUUAUAAAUAACAUCUCUAAAAGAUAUUAAACAACCAUCUAUUAUUUCUACAUAUACAGAUUUGAUUUUCUUAACUAAAUUUAUUUCUUAUUUUUUUAUAAAGUCUUUGUUUAUAAAAUAAGCUAAGAUUCCUAUAUCUAAGAAGGCAAAGACUUUGUGAUUUUUUGACCUUAAAUAAAGUUUUAUUAUAAAAUAAGGUGAAAAAUAUUUUUUUAAAAAAUAUACCCUUUAUUAUGUAUCGCAAUGGUCUUGCAAAGUUGAUCCCUCCAUCACCUCAUCCGAUCGAUUUCAUCCACCUCUUGUCUCCUACCUCCACACUAUGUGAAGUACAUUCUAAGCCCUGGCCUCCAAACCUUUGACAAAAAGAGUGGUCAGUUGCAUGGUCCCUAUUGUAGUUGAAAAAAAUUAAAAGAAAUUACUAUAAUUUAACUUAUUCUUCUUCAACUAAAUCUAUGUCUUUAUUAUCUUUCAAAAAGUUAACUUUUGCAUGCAAUGGCUUGAAUAAUAAAUUAUUCUAGUAAGUCUACUUUUGGCAUCAUCAACAGUAAAUCUUUGACAUUAUCUUUUAAUCCAUGUCAAAAUUGAUUGAUAAGAGUCUUGUUAUUUCAAUCCACAUCCAAAGUAAGUUUUAGAAUUCAUUAGAAUUUAUGGUUACUAAAUGUGAUCAUUGUUGUAAAAAUAUAAGUUUAGUCUUGAUAUCUUUUUUUGAUUACUUUCUUCAAAAAUGACCAUAAAUAUAUCUAAAAAUGAAUUCAAAUUAUAAAAAGACGUGAUUUUUUUUUUAUCAAAAGUGCAAGUCAAUAGAGAGCACUCCUAAAGUAAAGUGCAUCUAUGAAUCUAACUUGAGUAAAUCCAUCAAAAUAUUAAAUAAGAUGUAACCUUAGAUAGAACUACAUCCAUUGUAGAAAUCUUCAAAACUUUGAACUUGUUCCAUUGAACUUCUCUAAUAUACUUAUUCUUGUCUCUCUUAUAUUUAUAAUAGCAAGACUUCUUGGAUUUAAAUAUGGACUUGAUCUACUUGCUUUUGUCAAUUACAUAAUUUUUUAAUAUAGACUUUGAACUUCUUUAAUAACUUCUUUUAUAUGCAUUAUAUUAAAAGAUCAAUACAUUCUUGUAUCACUCUAAAAGACUAAAUUUUCACUCAAAGAUGGUAUAAUAUUAAAUUAAAAUUUCUAUUGCUAAAGAUAAAAAAAAACUAAAUUCUCUUAAAACAAGUCUAAAAAUUAGAAAGGCAUUGAUAAGAAUGAAGAGGCUUUAUUCUUGCUUUUAUAUAUACUAUCUAAAUAUGAACUAUAUGGUGCUGUUUUAUAAGACCUCCAACACAUGUCCAACUUGUGAGACAUAUGUUUAAUUUGCAAGAUAAGUUUCAUAUAUGUGUGUCACGUAGUAAGCUUACUCUAUAAGCUACUAACAUUUGCAAUAUGUAGCUAACUUGUUGAUAAAGUUUCUAAUCUACCAAUCAACUACAAAUAUAUCUAAAAUCAAACAUGCAUCUAUAAAACUUCUAAGAAGCUUUGCUAUAAGAUAAUAUGAAAUCUACCUAUAUUUAUCUCCUAUCUAAUACUUCUUAUUUAUGUAAAUUUGUAUGUGUAUGACAAGCUUUUAAGAAGCUAAUCUACAAGAUAUUAUCAAAUUUAAUUAUUUUACUUCCAUCUACUUCCUUGUAUUCUCUUUAAUAUUAAUACCAAAGUUGAUGUCUAUGAUACUUUGUUUGAUGAAGACUAAUAUUUUUUUUAUAAUUUAAUAAAAUUUUAAAUAUUUGACAUUAUCAAUCCAUUUAUGUUAACCAAUAUUACAUCAAAAUAAGUAAUUACCAAGUUUAUUAUAGUAAUAAAGAAAAAAUUAGAAGAAAAAAAAUUAAGUAUUAAAAAGAAUGGUCAAAAAAUAAAUUAAGUUUAUAAUAUAUAGACAGCUAAUAUCUUAUACAAAACUUACAUAUUAUAACCAAAGUCUACAAUCAAUGUAUUAUACUUAAGAAGAUAUAAAAAUCAAUUAGAAUUUCAUCUACUUUAAAAUAAUCUAAGUCGUACUUAACUUAUUAUUUGUUCACUAUAUAUAAGCAAUUGGUUAGAUAAAAUCCAAAGUAUAUCUCAAGACAAGCAUCAACGAACAAUUUAUGAGACUGUUAUGGACAUAUAAUGUUUUUAAAUAAGAAGUAUUAGGUAGAAGAUAAAUAUAGGUAGAUUUGAUAAUAUCUUAUAGAGUAGCUUUGUAGAAGCUUCAAAGAUGUAGAUUUAAUUUUAUAUAUGUUUAUAAUUAAUUGAUAGGAUAUAAACUUGGCAAACAAGUUAGCUAUGUAUUGCACAUUUAAGAAACUUGUCUUGCAAGAUAGAUACGUGUUUUGUAAGUUGAACACAUGUCAAGAUCAUAUGGAAUAUUUUUACUUAGGUUCUAAUUAGAUAGUACAUAUCAAGCUAAGAGUGAAAUUUUUUUUUACUCUUUUCAAUACUUUUUUUAGUCUUUAGUCUUAUCUCAAGAGUCUCUUAUUUUUUUAUAUUUAGUAAUAGUCAUUCUAAUUUAAUAUUAUACCAGCUUUUAGAAAAUUUCUAUUUUUUUCUAUUCACUUAAGAAUAUAUUGAUUCUUUCAUUUUUUGUGAUUCAUGUCCUUGACAUUUUGACAAAAGUAUUAAUUCAUUAUUCUUAUAUUGGUUUAGAAGUGAAUAGAUUAUUUUACGUUUUUUCAUUUAAAGAUUAUAAUAGUUAUUAUACUUUUAGAUAGAAGAUUAUAGUAAUUAUAAUAAAGAUUCUAUGAUUGGAAUCUUAUACAAUACCUAAUAAAGAUUAUAUAUUUAUUUUUUAAUCUUUCAUCCUAUUUUAUAAUAGAUACUUUUUUAGAACCAAAAAAUUACAAAAUCUUUGCUUUGUUAGAUUCAAGAGCCUUAGCUUGUUUUAUAGACAAAUUCUUUAUUAAAAAAUAAGAAAUAUCUUUAGACAAAAGAACUAAGCCAAUAAUUGUAAUAAUUAUAGAUAAUUUUACAUUAUCUUUUAAAGAUAUUAUCUAUAAAACUCUUACUUUGGAUAGAGCAACUAACAACCAUAACAACUUAAUAAUAUUCAAUGUGAUUAAAUCUUCCUCCAAACCAAUUGUUUUAGAUUUAUCAUAAUUAAAGAAGUAUAAUUUCUAAAUAAAUAAGUUUUUUCUUAAUCUUGGUUUUUUUUGUAGCAUAAUUUAAAAAUCUAUUAUAUAAGUAGAAAGUUAUAAAUCUAAUAUAACCAAACUUUUAUUAGUAGAUAUAAGAACUUUCAUGCAUGAUACAAAAAAUAUAUCAUUUUUUUUAUUUAUGCUAUAUUUAUUUUUAACUUAUUAAUAAAAGGAAAAUAAUGGAUCUUUAUAGAUGUACGUAGACUAUUAAGGACUUAACAAGAUCACUAUCAAGAAUAGAUACCUUUUAUCUUUGAUUUUAGGACUUCUUGACCAAUUCAAUGAAGUAAAGAUAUGUACAAAAAUAGAUCUAUGAAGAACAUACAAUGUGAUUUGCAUUAAAAAAAGAAAUGAAUAGAAGGUUGAUUUUUAAACUAGGUAUGGAUAUUUUGAAUAUAAUAUCAUGCCUUUUAGAUUAAUAAAUGCACAAGUUACUUUUCAAUAUCUUAUGAAUGAUGUUUUUUAUAAGUUUUUAGAUGAUUUUUUUAUCUAUUAUUUAAAUGACAUUCUAAUCUAUUCUAAAAACAUAGAAGAACAUGAAUUUCAUAUUUGUCGUGUACUACAAAAACUUAGAGAUGUAAGAUUGUAUGCUAAGAUGAAAAAAGUGUGCAUUCUAUAUUAUUUAAGUUGACUUUCUAGAAUACAUCAUUUUUAAUGAAGGCUUAAUGAUGGAUCCUAAGAAGCUCCAGACUAUCAUGGAUUAGAAGAUUUUAAGAAUAAUAAGAGAUGCACAAUAAUUUUUAAACUUUAUCAAUUAUUAAUAGAUCUUUAUUAAGAUUUUUUUCAAGUUUUAGCUCUACUUAUAUAUUUGACUUAAAAAAAACAAAUUUAAGUGGAAUAAAGAAGCCAAAGUAUUGUUUGAUGCUUUAAAGAAUGAAUUUAUUUUUGCACCUAUCUUGUAUUAAGUUGACUUUUUCAAGGCAUUUUUAAUGAAAAUAGACUCAUCAAAUUUCGCCUUAGAUGCAAUAUUAUCUAAAAUAAGAAUAAAAUACAAACUUCAUCUAAUCCCUUUUUAUUUCAAAAAAAUUUCAAUAGUAGAAAUCAACUAUGAAAUCUACAAUAAAAAGCUUCUUGCAAUAGUAGAUUCUUUUUAAGAAUGGCAUCACUAUCUAAAAAGCACUUCUAUUUUAUUCAUUGUAUAUAAAAAUUACAAGAACUUUAAAUAUUUUAUGUCAACAUGUGUAUUAAAUUGUUGAUAAGCUUGUUGGAGCAUAUCAUUAUUAAGAUUUGAUUUUAAGAUCACAUAUUGACUUAAAAAACAACAAGGUUUGUCAAAAAUCCUUUCUAGAUGUUCUUAUCUUAUACCAAAAGAAGAAAAUGUAACUUUUGUCUAAUAAAAAAUAAUUGACUUGAAGCAUAAAAAAUUUCAUCUUCAAGCAAUAAAAUCAACAUUGAUUAUUGAUUCAACCUUUGUCAAAAAAAUUCAAUCAAGUAUGCUCUAUGAUCCUCUUAUUCAUAAUGUAUUAAAAAUACUUCUUUGAAGUCUCAUGAUACUUUUAAGUUUAAGUUCAAGAAUAACCUAUUCUAUUUCAAAUAUUACCUAUAUUUUCUAAAAAUAGAAGCAUAUUUACAUGUUCUUCAAACACAUCAUGACUUUCUAGUAGCAAGAUAUUUUAGAUAUAACAAGAUUUUGGAGCUUAUAUUCAAAGAUAUUUGGUGGAUGAAAAUAUAAAAGGCUAUGAAAGACUUUGUAUGAUUAUGUGACAUUUGUUUAAAGUAAAAAACUCCUUGUCAUUGAUCAUAUGGAUUUUUUCAACUAUUACCUAUAUGAUUCUAUAUUCAUGAUCAUAGAUUAUUUCACCAAAAUGACAUAUUUCAUAUUACAUACAAAAUCUAUUUCUUGUAAAGAAAUAGCUAAUUUUUUCUUUGACAAUAUUUAUCACAAUCAUGGAUUGCCAAAAGAUAUUAUAUCAAAUAAAAUGACACAAUUUAUAUGAAGAUUUAUUUAUUUAUUUAUUUAUUUUUAUAAUAUUAAAGGUAGAUAUAAAAUUAUCUUUGGCCUUCCAUCCUCAAAUUAAUGAACAGACAAAAUGGGUGAAUCAAGAUUAAAAUAGUAUUUGAGGUGUAGCAUCAACUAUCAUAAAAACAAUUGAAUAAUUUUUUUGCUAUUGGCAAAGUUUGCAUAUAAUAAUUUGGUAUAUUCUUAUAUUCAAUCAAUACCUUUUUUUUACUAAUUAUGGUUACUAUCUAUGACUUAAUACUUUUAACUUUUCAAAAUUUGAUAAUUCUAUGAUAAAAGAUUUAAUAAAUUAUUUACAGGGCUACUUACAACAAUGAAAGCAUAUUUAAAGGAAGCUAAAAAAUAAAAAAAAAUCAAUACAGAUACCUAUUGUAAGGAACAACUAAAAUUUAAAGUCAAUGAUAAGAUAUGAUUAUUUUAUUAUAAUAUUAAGACUAUUUGUUUUUGUAACAAGUUAGACUAUUGUAAGUUUACACCUUUUUUAUUUGUGAAUAAAUCAAUCUAAUUGCUUAUUGAUUAUAUCUACUAGAAUCAAUGAAGAUCUAUCUUGUAUUUCACAUGUCUCUUUUUCAACCAUACAAGAUAAUAAACAUACUAAGAAGAAGACAAGUGCCACCUCUUUCUAUAAAAAUAGAAAAUAAUAAAGAAUUUGAAAUGGACAAAGUCUUAGAUUCAAAGUGGCACCAAAAUAGGUUAGAAUAUCUUAUUCAUUAGCAUAGAUAUGAUAUUAAUAAAUCUACAUAGAAACUAGCAAAGAAUCUUACAAAUACAACAAAGAAGGUUGAUGUUUUUCAUUAAUGACAUCUAUCAAAAUUAAGAUGGAAAAUAAAUCAAUUCUUUACAAUAAAAGAAACAAAGAUUGAUAAAAAUUACAUUUUAUGAUAAUUUAAAGUUUUUUAUAUUCUUGUCGUUGAAGAUGAAAAAUCAACAACUCACAUACUCAAUUUAGGAGCUAUUACUUGUUAACAUCAUCUUUGAUUUUAUCAACAUAUGAUGAUUUUUUUUAUAGAACCUAUCCUUGAAAAAAAAAAUAAUGUCAUGGAGAAAUAUGUUUAUUUUAAUAAUUAUCUAUAUAAUAAAAUAGAAGUAAAUAAAAAUAGAUUAAUUUCAUAAUAUCUUUUAGAAUAGCAUUUUAAAAGCUUUAUAGAUAUGGCUUUUAUUUUACAUGUUUUUGUAAUUAACUAAUAGGUUAGAAACUUCGUCAACAAGUUACUUACAUGUCACAUGUAUUAGUAGCUUGUGGAACAAACCAACUAUGUGACACACAUGUAAAAAACUUGUCUUGCAAGUUAAGAUAUGUAUCUUAUAAAGUCAGUUUAUAUUAGAGGUCUCAUAGAACAUUGUCAUAUAAUUCUUAAAUAGAUAAUAUAUAUAGAGGCAAGAAUGAAGCCUUCUUCACUCUUAUCCACUCCUUUCUUAUUUCUAAUUUAGUUUCAAAAUUCUCUAGAUUUUUAGUCUUUGCCAUUAGCCAUUCCAAUUCCUUCUUGAAUAUAUAUAUACUUUCUUACUAUCAUUUUUUCAUCUUUCUUUGAUACUUAUUUCAUUUAUUUAUAUAUCAUUUGUUGGAUUCUUAUUCUUGAUACUCUUGCUUCUAUAUAUACUAUUUAAUUAGAAGCUAUAUAGUGACAUUGUUAUAUUGAAAUAUAACUAUAUGGUAAAAAUAUGAACAAAAAUAAUAUUAUGAUUCAAAUUCUAUCAUCUUUGUUCAAUAGUAAUUCUAGACAUUUAAACAAGGCUUUUAUGAAAGCCUCUUAGUUUAUUUUCUUGUUUUAAUAGCUAAUAGAUUAAAGAUUGAUUAGCAGAUUUACCUUCUAGGUUAUAAAAAAUUCUUCUAAUACCAUAAAAAAGUCAUAAAUCAAUAAAAAUAAAAUAGAUUAAAUAAAUAUUUAGUACGGUCAAUUCUAAGAUAAAAUUAAGGAUAAGAUCAUACUAAAAAUUUCUUAGAAAGGUUGAAUUGAUACUCAAGGGAUGACCAUUUUUUAGUCAAGAUUAAAGACAAACCUCUAGCCAUUAAAAUGGUUACUUAGGACAAAAUAAAAGAGAUUUUUAGAAAUCAAGGAGUUAAAUCAAGAACUAGCUUUAAGUUUGUUCUAGAAUUUUAAAGCUUAUUUUCAAAGAUUUUCAGAUGAUUUGCAAUCAUUGUGCAAAAUCAAGGUUUGUAUUAGUGACUUUGAAUUUAUGCAAUAAAAUUAUAGCUAUCACUAUCGCCUGGUUUGUAAGAUGCAUACAAUAUCUAUAAUUCAAAUUUUAUCAAUAUAUAGUUGAAUAGAUAAGUCAAUUUUUUAUAAUUUUUUUUAUUAUUUUAAUAGUAUAAAUAGAAGAUAUUUAAUCAUUAAUACAAUGAAGUAUUAAAAGUUGGUAGUUAAACGUUAUAGAGGAUUUUUGCAAUAUCUAAAGAUCUACUUGUUGGAACACAGAAAAAUUUGACAUGGUUUCAAUAGGCUAACAUAUCAAACUACAUACCAAUUUUAAAUUAAAUUUAAUCAUUGAAGAAAGAAAAUUUAUUGCUCAAACUUCGUUAUCAACCUUCAAGUCAGCAACCAAGGGACAUCAAUAUGGUUCUUUUACAUUUUUUUCAUAAUUUUUAAGUUGUAUUGGCCUAAAAAUGUUUACGAAUAUUGAAGUUAUAUUGUUUCACUAUUAUACAAAAUUUUGAACUAAUUGGAUGAUUAGAUUAAGAAUUAUAGUUAGUUGAAGUUUGCUACCUAGAGUUAGGAUUUAGAGAGAAAAUUAGAAGUUUCAAAAAAAGAUAAAUAAUAAAAUAAUUAAGAUUUUUAUUUGCUUGAGAUAAUAAAAAAGAUUAUUUUUUAGCACUUUGCAUUGGCUUUAAAUCCUUUUGCAUUAGAAUUCAAAGUAUUUUUUUCUUAAUAAUUGAAACCUAUUAAAAUUUCUUAGAUAAUUGUAAUACAUGAUUUCAUCUUUUAUAACUAAGAGACUAGUGCCUUUCCAAGUAAGAAGACACCUAAUACAAAAUCAUUCUAUAGGACUUCCAACAUGUGUCCAAAUUAUAAGACUUAUAUCUUUACUUGCAAGAUAAGUUUUUUAUAUAUGUGCUAUAUAAUUAAUUUGUUUUACAAGCUAUCAAUACAUAUGACACAUUGCUAAUUUAUUUACUAGGUUUCUAAAUCAACUACAAACACGUAUAAAUUCAAAGUUGUAUUUGUGAAGCUUCUAAAAAGCUUUUCUAUAAAAUAUUGUUUAAUUAACAUAUUUUUAUCUACUUCUAUUUAAUUAUAUAAAUAAUUAUUGGAAUAAAUAUGUAUGUUUGUAACAUUACUUCUCCUCCUUUCUAGGAGCAAAUUCCACAAGAAGAAAUAAUUAUAUGUUGAUAAAAUCCAAAAUUAGAUAAAACAUAUUUAUCACAUAUUUUGAUCUUUGUUUCUUUUUAAGGUAGUUAAUAAGUCUUCUUAGCCAUCACUGAUGCUUUAUUUUAGGGCAAGAAGACUACCCUCUAAUUUGAUUGUUAUUAAUACCUUCUUAGCUUCUUUCAAAUAAUAUAUUUAUAAGAUCAUUAAGAAUCAUCUCUACUUUCAAUAAAAUCACCAAACAUUGGGAGGCUCUUCUUAGGUUGUGAUAUCAAACAUUUAUAUCUUGCCAUUUAUUUAAGGAAAAAUAUGUUGUUCUUGAAGAUCUUUAUUUUGAUUAUAUCAUGUUAAAGGUUGUGAAGAUCACAAUAUAUUGUCUAAUAAGUCAGCAAACAUUAGCUCUUGUACUAAAUUUGCUAAUUAUUGAUACUCUAUUUUUUUAGUGCCAUAAAUAAAUAGAUAUUACAAAUAAAAAUAGAAGAUAGAAUAUUAUCUUUUUUGAAUCUUAUUUAUUUUAUAGCAAAGAUUUGUUAUUAUUUAUCUUGAUUUUAAUGGAUGUCAUUGAUGAAAAGCAUCAAUCUUUUUUGUUGUAUUUGUAAGAUUCUUUAUUGAUUGCUAAGUAUAUUUAUUAAUAUCAUAUCCAUACUAAUUAAUAAAAUAUUUCAACCUAUUUUGGCACUACCUUGAAUCUAAAACUUCUUCUAUCUUAAGUUCUUCAUUAUUAUUCACUUCUAUAGGAAGGGGUGGUAUUUGUCUUUUUUUUGAGAUAUUCAUAGUCUUAUAUGGUUCAAAAAAAAUGUGGAAUACUGAAUAGAUCUUUAUAGAUUUUUGUAGAUAUAAUUAAUAAAAAAUAAGAUUGAUUUAUUUACAAAUAAAAAAUGGUCCAAGCUUACAAUAAUCCAAGUUAUCACAAGAGCGGCGUGAGUCAUGAAUUCGACUCACUAAUUAUUUUAGGAAAAAAAUGCAUUUAGAGUGCUUAAAAUUACAAUAUAUGGUGAGUAGUAUAGAAAUUCUUAAACAAAUAGAAAAUUAAAAAUGUAAGUUAUAAAAAUGGAGUCUUAAUAAGUCUUAGAAACAAUGAUUUUAGUUGAUUUAGUAUUUUUAUUUAUUAUUGAGUAUUAAAGAUUAUUUAUAAAGAUCAAUAUUAAUAUUUGGCCUUCUAUCUAUAUGUAUUACUUAUAAAAAAAACUAUAAAUAUUAGUUAGUAGUUAGAAGAAGUACAAAAAAGAACCUCAUAACUUUUUAAUUAAUUAUAUAAAAAGUAUAAUCUUUAGUAGAUUUAAAUUGAUUUUAUUACUAUAAAAAAAUAUCAAGAUAAAAAUUUAUACCUUUAAAUUGAUAUUAGCAUUAUAAAAUUAUUUUAAGAAUUUUAAAUUUUUAUUUAGAAUUUAUUUGAAAAAUUUAGAGUAAUUUUUAAGACUUUGGUAAAAAUAAAUUUUAUUACUUUAGAAGCCAUUGUGAAGAAAUGGAACAAGAAUUGAAGGCCACACAAGAUUUUUAGGUUAAUUGGAUAUUUUUGAAUACCAUGGUGAAGUCAAAAAUCCAAAAAUAUUGGAUCUACUAAUAGAAAAUAGAAGGACCAAUAGCUAAUAUAGUCCUUCUAAAAAAGAAUGUGCACAAAUCUCAUAUGGAUUGUAGCACCUUGAAGGUAGUUAAGAGGAUAAGACUAAGGCCUUGUGGCCUCUCUGAAGGACCCAUAUACACUACUUAUGAGCCUUGGUAAGGCUCGAACUCUUAAUCUCUUAAUCAAGUUACUCUUGAGAUAAAAAUUAUUUAUUUAAUUAUUUAUUAUUUAUUUUUAUCUUUAAUCUAUCAUAAAUUACUCAUAUUGACUUGCAUUUAUAUAUUUUUUAUGCCAUUGAAAAUAUAAAAAGAUUAUCUAUCUAAAAAUAUUUUUACUUUUUAUUUUUAUUUUUAUUACUAGAUAAAAAUCUAAUAAUCACAUUAUGACUAAUUUUAUAGUAUAUAAUUUUUUGAUUGCACUUAUUUUACUUAUUUUGUAUUAUUAUUCUUUUGUUCUUGUUCUUGCUACUUCCACUUCAUACCACCAAUUAUAAGCAACUUUUAAUUGACGUCAUCUUAUAAUUUGGAUUGAAAAAUAAAAUUUACUUUCACAAGCAAAUGAUCUUGAUAUUGCAACAAAAUAAUCAUAUCUUACUCUUAACAUAGAAUUGAAGUUGUUCCUUGCAAUAGGCAUCCAUGUUUUUCUUUUUUUUAUUCUUAAGCUUCUUUUAAUUAUGCCUUCAUUAUUGUAUGGAGCUCAGAUAAAUAAUUUGCCAAAUCUUUUGCCUCAUAAUUAUCAAAUUUUUAAAGAUCAAAAGCAUCAAUUUAUAGAUAAUAACCAUAAUUAGUAAAAAAAAGAUAUUUUUUGAAUAAAAAAACAUAUCAUGUUUAUUUAAGCAAACUCUACCAAUAACAAAAGAAUUAUUCAAUCAAUUUGUUGGCCAUUGAUAGUAUAUCUCAAAUAUUGCUCCAAAACUUAGUUUAUGUAUGUCAUUUUUUCAUAGAUUUGAUGAUGAAAAGCUAAAAAGAAUUUUUUAUCUACCUUUAUAAUCUUAAAAAAUAUUUUCUAAAAUCUUGAUACAAAUUGAGUGCUCCUAUCCAAAAUAAUAUUUUUGCAUAGUCCAUGAUAGUGAUAGAUAUUGUCAAGAAAAAACUUAGCCAUUUCUUUUCUUGUGAUGGAUUUUGUACAUGGUACAGAUUGUGCCAUUUUGAUAAAAAAAAAAAAAUCUACUAUCACAAAUAUAAAAUCAUUCAAACUUGAAAAUAAAAGAUACAUGAUAAAAUUUGUAGAAACAAAAGAUCAAAGUUGUUUCAAAAUAGGUAAUUGCAAAAAAAGUUCUUAAGGUCCAUGACAAGAAGUUUUUGAUCUUGAACAAACAUCAUAUGAUUACACAAAGUCUUUGACUACCUUCUAUAUUUGAAACCACCAAAAAUAUAUAGAUAUUAAUUCUAAAGUCUUAUUAUAUCCAAAAUAUCUAGUUGUUAAAAAGUAGUGAUAAACUUGAAAAGCACGUAAUUGUACUUUGUUUUUUUGGAUGUAUUAUUAUUUUUCAAAAUAGAAUAGAUUAUUUUUAAAUUUGAACUUAAAAGUAUUAUAAGACUUUGAAGAAUUAUUCUUAAUAUUAUAAACAAGAAGAUUAAAUGACAUACUUAAUUAAACUUGCUUGAAAAAAGGUUGAAUCAAUAAUCAAUUUGAAUUUCAUUUUUUGAAGAUGAAAAUGCUUUGGCUUCAAGAGAAUUUUUUUUAUUGAUUAAAAGCCUCAUUUAUUUCUUUUGGUGGAAGAUAAGAAUAUCUAAAAAAGGCAUUUGAUAAACCUUAUUUUUUGAUGUUAUAUAGUAAUAUGAUCAUUAGGUAAAAGAAAAAAGAAAUUAUUUUAUUAUAAAAGAACCUAAUUAAAAGAUAUAAUAAAAAACCAUAAAAUCUUAUCGUAUUAGAACUACCUUUAAUGAAAAUAGAUUCUAAUUACUUUUUACGACCAUAAAUAAUAUAAUAUAAGAUAGAUAAAAUUGAAUGAGCUCAAAUUAUUAAAUUAUCUAUCUUAUAUUAUAUUAUAUUAUAUUAUAUUAUCGUAUUAUGAAUUUGAGCUCAUUCAAUUAAUAUAUAUUAUAUUAUAUUAUAUUAUCUAUCUUAUAUUAUAUUAUAUUAAAUUAUCUAUCUUAUAUUAUAUUAUAUUAUAUUAUAUUAUUUGAGCUCAAAUUAUCUAUCUUAUCUUAUAUUAUCUUAUCGUAUUAUGAAUUUGAGCUCAUUCAAUUGGUUAAGUUAAAGAUUAUUGAAGUUCAAGUGGAUUAUAGUCUCAAAAAUUGGAGUUAGAAGAUUAGUGGGAUUUUUAGGAUCUUUAGUAAUUUACCAAUUUAAUUGAAAUGCUAAUUAUUUAUAUAUAUAGUAGACUUGAUUUCUAAAAUUUAUGUGAAUUUAAGAAGGAGAUAUUUAUGCUAGAAGCUCAGCAUCAAGGUUGGAGAAAGAAGAUACUUAAGACUUGAAUGGAUUAUCUUACAUUUCUCUCAAUUGAUAAGUACAAUUGAUCUCAUUUUUCUUGUGCUUGUGUUCAAUUGAAUUAUUGAGAAGUAUGAAAAAUUGGAGUUGAUAUCAAUGGUUUAAUUAUUAAUUUUUAAGAUUUCAAUCUACUGUAGGAUUUGUAAAGAAUUUAGUUAGGCUUUAUUAAGUUUUGAUCUAGGAUUUUAUUAAGAUUUAGUUAGCAUUUUAUUAGAAUUAAACUUGAAUUUAAUUAAGAUUUUGUUAGGAUUUGGUUAAAAUUUAUUUAAUAUUUUAUUAGAAUUUGAUUAAAAUUUGGUUAAAAUUGAUUUAAGAUUUUAUUAGAAUUUUGUUAAGAUUUGUUGGCGAUUAUAUUAAGAUUUAGUUAUGAUUCAAUUAAGAUUUUUAUUUUUAAUAUUUUUUUAAUAUUACUUUGAUGCUUUUUAUUAUUUUUAUUAUAUAUAAUAUUUUAAAAUUAAUUUAUUAUUUUUUAUAUUUCUUUUGUUAGUCUUCAAGAUUCUUUUAAAUUUUAAUUUAAAUUUGAUUAAUAUUUUUUAAAUUUAAUUAGAGUUUAUUUAAAAUUCUUUAAGAAUUGUUAGGACCUUUUUAUUGCAAGUUUUAUUUUACUUUCUGUAGCCAAGUAUCUGAUGCAUUUUCAAGCAAACUUCACAAAAUAUAACAUCAAGUCAAUAAAUGAUCUUGAAAUCAAAUUUUGAUAAGAUUUUACUUUAACAAGCUUAUUAAUGAUUUAAAAUACAUAGCAAUAUGAAAUAUUCAAUGUUCUUAUGAUUUAUAUAUACAAUGAUUAGAUUAAAAGUGUCUUCUAGAUAAUAAUAUCAUUCUUAAAAUGAAUCUACAAUUGCAAGAAGUUUUUUGUUGUGGAUCUCAUAGUUGAACUUGACUACUAAAAAUCUCAUUACAUGAAAAGCUACCAAGUAGAACUUAUCAUCUACUCCCGUUUAUGACAAAAUAAUACCUAUAGCAAAGUUUAAUGCAUCUAUUUUAUAAAAAAUCCCUUAAAAAAAUUAAUGCAAUACAAGAUUGGCGUAAAAAUAAAUGUUGUCUUCAAGGCUUUAAAAGAUGCUUCAGCUUCUUUGCUCCAUUAAAUUUUAUUUUUAUAUUAUAGACAUAUAAGAAGAAUCAUAAUUUUUUUAAAAAUUUAAUAAAGAUCUAAUAAUAGUUGAAAAAUUCUAAAAAAUAUGAUUAUCUUUUACUAUUUUUGAAAUCUUUCAAUCUGUGAUAGUUUAAAUCUUCUUUGAAUCCAUCAUAAGGUCAUCAUUUGAAAUGAUGUAUUUUAAGAAAUCAACUUAAAUUAUGUAAAAUACUCAUUUUUUUCAUCUUAGCAUACAAUCCCAUAUCUUUUAGUUUUUGUAAUAAAUAACAAAUUUAAAGUUUUUGCUCUUUAAUAUUCUUAGAAUAGAUUAAAAUGUCGUCAAGAUAAUGGACAAUAAAAUCAUCAAAAAAAUCACAAAAGACAUGAUUUAUUAGAUGUUGAAAAGCAAUUAGUACAUUUUUAAGUCCAAAUAGCAUGACAUUAUAUUUAAAAUGCUCACAUCUCAUUCAUAAUGUAAUUUUUCACUUAUUUCUUUAUUUCACUGAUGUAUACCAAGUUGUAUGUUCUUUGUAGAACUAUUUUUUUAUAGAUCUUUGCUUCAUUGUCUUGAUCAAGAAGUCCUAAAAUCAAAGAUAGAAGAUAUCUAUUCUUGAUGGUGAUCUCAUUAAGUCCUCAAUAGUUCACACAUAAGUGCAAAAAUCUAUUUUUUUUUCUUCACAUAUAACAUGAAAGUCCUUAUUGGAGAUUUAGAAUGGCAUAUGAAGUUCUUACCUAAAUUCUUGUCAAUUUAUUCUUUAAAUACAGCCAAUUCAUUCUAUGAUAGGCUACAAAUUGAUCUAAAUGAUGCUUUAAUUCCUUCUUAAAGUUCAAUGGAAUAAUCACAGAAAUAAUGCUCUACAAAAUAUAUACAUUUUUUUUCUUAAAAACGUCUUGAUAAACUUAAUAUUAGCUUGAAAUGUCACUUGAUAUUUUUUUUUUCUAUUGAGAAUAGAUGAGGCAUAUAUAGCAAAAAUUGACCCUUCUUUUAUAGCAUGCAUGAAAGCUCUCACACCUAUUAAUAAGGAUUUGGAUAUAUCAGACUUAUGGAUUUUUACUUGACUAGAAAAAUCUUGGACUAAAUUAUAGAAGAAAUCAAGGUCAUAAGAAAUCUAGUCAAUUUAAAGAUUAUAUUUUUUUAAUCAAGAUAAUUCUAAAAUAAUUAGGUUAGAAGGAAAUCUAAUCUUAUUAAAUAUUAUUAAACUAUUAUGACCACUAGUUGUUAUAUUAUAAGGAACAAUUUUAUAGAUAGCAUUUCUAAAAGACAACAAAUGACCAUCUAUUAUUUUUACAUAUAUAGGUUUGGUUUUUUUAAUUAAAAAUAUUUCAUAUUUUUUAACAAAGUCUUUAUUUAUAAAACAAGCUAAAGCUCCCAAAUCUAAUAAGGCUAAGACUUUUUGAUAUGUUGGUGUCACAAACAUACACAUAUAAGCUAGUAAUUACCUAUAUAAAUAGGUAAAUAGAAGUAGUUAAAAGUAAGUUAAUUCUAUAAUAUCUUCUAUGAAAGCUUGUUAGAAGCUUUAUAGAUGUUGCUUUGACUUUAAAGGUAUAUUUAAUUGACUUUUUGGACUAAAAACGUGGUCAACAAAUUGGCCAUGUGCCACAUAUGUUAGCUUGAAGAUCAAGCUAACUAUGUGGCCCACACAUAAAAAAACUUGCCUUAUAAGUCAAGGCAUGUGUCCUACAAAGUCAACACAUAUUGAAGGUCCUAUAGAAUAUCACCACGUAGUUCCUAAUUAGAUAGUAUAUAAAAAGACAAGAGUGAAGCCCUCUUCACUCUUGUCAAUUCUUUUCUUUCUUCUAGUCUAGUUUCAAGAGUCUCAAGUUUUCUUAUCUUUUAGUAAUAAGUCUUUCCAGUUUUUUUUAAUAUACGUACUUCUUUAUUUCUAUUUUGUCACUCUUUCUUUGACAUGGAUUUCAUUAUUUAUGCAUCAUCUUUUAGUUCAUAUCCUUGACAGAUUGACAAAAGUGCACUUAUAGUAUCAGAGCUUUGUCUUGUUUUGAUUAAAAGUCGAUUACUUCUUUUUCAUGAUAAGACAUAAGUAUAUUAGAAGUUAUGGAUUACCCUCUUCUAAAUUGAUAUUAUUCUUAGUAUUUUCUUUAUCCUCAAGUCCUUUCUUCUAUUUGUCUUGAGUGGUAUUAGAUAUUUUUCUGAGUGUUAUUAUGGUAGAGCUUCUCGAAACGAAGAGUGCAAUGAUACAAAUGUAAGAACAAUUGAGGGAGUUGAUGCUUGCGAUGCAUCAAUUUAGCUUACUACUAUAAGGAUCAACAAGAAUGGCAAGAAGUGGGGAUAUAGAGAUGAUUAGAGUUGCUUCAACAUCUACACCAAAUCAUGUCCCUCUAUCCAUGGUGGAACAUCUUUUAAGUAUUAAAGAACUAAGAGUUACCCUGCUCGAGAAGUUUGGUGGUAUAAAAUCCAAAUUUCAAAGAUUUAUUAAUCAAGUACAACUUGUGAUUGAACUCCAACCUCAAAGCUAUCCAACUCUUAGAUCACAAGUUAGAUUUAUGUCAAGUUCAGCACUAUCAUGGUUUUCAUCUUUUCUUGAAUGACAAGCUCCAAUAUUGGAUAAUAUAGAGGUAUUUUUGGUGGAAUUUUGGUCCAUGUAUGGAGAAUAUGAUGCAACUCGUAUUACAACCAAAAAGAUCCAUAUUUUGUGACAAAGCAAUCGAUUUGUAACGUUAUAUGCUUCACAAUUUUGACAACUUAUAAUUGAUAUCAAGUGGGAUGAUGCUGCACUUAUUAGCCAAUUUCUCUAUGGAUUACAAUAUGAAGUAAAAAAAUUCAUCCUGAACUUCCUUGAUUCUCAAACAUUGAGUCAUGCAAUUGUGUUUGCUGUGAAAUGUGACAAUUGAUUUUUUGAAUUUUGAUCUGAGAGUCAUACAAAUAUGCCUCAACGUUACUAAAAUUUGAUGGCAAAACUAACAUCUCAUCAACACAUACAUUCAAAAGCAAAGGAUAUGCAAAUUGACGCGGUAUGUUUUAAACAUCUUAUCAAGUAAGAAAAGACUCGUCGCCGUCAAGAAGGAUUGUACUUAUAUUGUGAAGAAUCUAAACACAUUACUCAACAUUGUCCAAAGAAGCAAAAAAAUCACAAAAUGAGGAGUUCAUCUGUCAAAGAAGAUAAUGUGUCGGAAAAUGAAUUUGUCCAAUUACAAUAGGGACUGUGUAGCUGGAAUCUUAUAUAAUUUCUAAUGAAGGUCCUAUCCUCUCCUCAAAACCCUCUCUUUGUUUUAUAAUAGAUGUGCGUUUAAGACCUAAUAAUUAUAAAGCCUUCUUCUUGAUAAAUUCAGGAGCCUCAGCUUGUUUUUUAGAUGUAGAAUUUAUUAAAAAUCAUAAAAUAUCAUCAGUACAAAAAAUCAAACGUGUUCAUAUAGAAGUCAUAGAUGGUCGUCCAUUGUCUUCUGGAGAUAUUACUCAUAAAAUACUUUCUAUAGAUGUAGCAAUAAAUGGUCUUAGUAGUUGCAUAAUCUUUAAUAUAAUUAGAUCUCCCUCUCAUCCAAUCAUUUUAGAUUUAUCAUAAUUAGAAAAGUAUAAUCCUUGCAUAGAUUGGAUUUCUCAUAUCCUUGAUUUUUCUAAAAGCAUAAAUAAGAGUGAAAUUAAUCCAAUAGAAAGUCAUAAGUCUAGUACAAUUAAACCUAUGUUUGUAGAUGCAAGAGCUUUCUUACAUGCUACAAAAGAAGGACCACCUUGUGUCAUUUAUACUACACCUGUUUCAAAAAAUAUUUCUUCUACUCAAAAAAGUAUUUGAGCAAAAAAAGUAUCUGAACAACCUUGGUUUUUGAGUAGAAGAAUGUAUCAUAUUAUUAUAACCAAACUUUAUCAAUGGCAAAAGAGUUCUUUAAUCAUCUUGAUGUUAAUUGAUGGUACAGCUCAAAUAUUGCUUCAAAACUUCUUCAAUUUGUUCUAUUUAUCUAAAAAUUUGAAGAUAUAAAGUCAAAGAUAGUUUUGUAUCUAUUUUUAAUAUCUUAAAAAUGAAUCUCUAAAAUCUUAAUAUAAAUUGAAUUUUUCUAUCCAAUAUAAUAUCUUUUAAUAAUUAAUGAUAGCAAUAAAUGUUGUGAAAGAAAAAUUUAGAUGUUUCUUUAUUUAUGAUAGUUUUUGCAGAUAACAUAAAAUGUGCCAUCUUGGUGAUAGAAUCUACUAUCACAAAUAUAAAAUUGUAAGAACUUGAAGUAGAAAGAUCCAUGGUAAAAUCUAUAGAAACAAAAAACCAAGGUUCUUCAGAUAUAGAUCAUAAUUAAAGAAAUCCAUAAGAUUGGUGAUGAGCAGUUUUUGAUUUUGAACAAACAUCAUAAGAUUGUACAAAGUCUUCGACUGCCUUCCACACAUGAGGCUACUAAAAAUCUCUUAAUAUAAAUUCUAAAGUCAUAUUUUAUCUAAAAUGUCAUAUAAUUGGAAAGUCUUUACAAGCUUAAAGAGCAUGUAAUUGAGCUUCAAUAUUUGGAUGUCACGGACAUAUAUAUUUAUUCCAAUAAUUAUUUAUAUGAUUCAAUAGAAGUAAAUAAACAUAUAUUAAUUGAUAAAUAUUUUGUGGAAAAGCUUUCUAGAAGCUUCAUAAAUAUGACUUUGACUUUAUAUAUAUUUGUAGUUGAUUAAUGGAAUAAAAACUUAAUCAACAAAUUAACCAUAUAUUGUAUGUAUUGGUAGCUUAUAAAAUAAGCUAACUAUAAGGUGUACAUAUAAAAAACUUAUCUUGCAAGUUGAAACAUGUGUCUUGUAAUUUGGACAUGUAUUGGAGGUCCUAAAGAACAUCACUACAUAGCUUUUAAUUAAAUAGUAUAUAUGGAGGCAAGAAUGAAGCCUUCUUCACUCUUGUCAAUGUCUUUGUGCUCGUUAGUCUUGUUUUAAGACUUUCUAAUUUUCUUGUUUUGGCAAUAAUAAUUCUAAAUUUUAAUAUUAUAUUAGUUUUGAAUGAAUAUCUAUUCUUUUGAGUUACAUAAGAGUAUAUUGAAUUUUUUAUUCUUUGCAAUUUAUAUUCUUGGUAGUUUAAUAAGAAACUUAAUUUUUUGUUCUUGUUUUAUUCUAAUAGUGAAUAGAAUAUUCAACUUCUAUUGUUACAUUUUUAAAGGUUACAAACCAUCUACCUUUCAAUUAACUUAUAGUUUUUUAAAAUUAUUUUUUUUCUUAGAAAGAGAAGAUUAUCUCUCUUUAUAAAAUAUUUAUUUAAUAUUAGAGGUUAAAAAUUACCUUAUUUUAAUUUAAUUUUUUAAAUUUAUUUGAGUUAUCUAUGAAAAAAAAAUUAUGGAUAUUAUUCUUAAAAAAAAUUAAAAUAGAUUUGAAAUUAUUGCAAAUCUUCACAAGCUUGUCAAUACUCUUAGGAUAGAAAUCUCACGUAUUUUUAUUAUGAAUCAUGGAGAUACUAUUACUAUGCCUAUAAAAAAAAUUAAUCAUAAAAUUCAAAGUUUCCACCAAAAAUUUUUAUAAUUAAGAAAAAGAAGUAGAUCAAAUUGACUACUAAAUUCAAGAAGUUUAAUUACUAUAAAUAUAAAGAAGGACAUAAUAAAUAUAUUAGAGAAGUUUGAUGGAAGAAGAUCGAAGUUUUAAGGGUUUUUACAGAAUUAAAACUCUUUCCAAGAUUGCAUUCUUUUCAAUAUUCUAAUAGAUUAUUCAAUUUAAAUUUAUAGAAGCACUUCUCUUUAAAAAUAUUCUUUUUUGAUUUUUAUCUUUAAUAGAAUAUAUUCAAGAUUAAUCUUAGAUUUGAUUUCAUUGUUGAAAGUAUUUUCAAUUAUACUUGAAAAAAGUGAUUGACAAAUUAUAGCAAAGACCAAACUUGUAUCUCUAUAAUAAUAAUCAUGUUUAGCCACUGUAUAUGCUACUAAAUUUCAAAACCUUUUUUAAAAUAUAGAUUAGAAUAAUAAAGAUUUUAUAAAUUAAUUUUGAUAUAAAUUAAAAUUUAAUAUCAAAGAUUUAUUGUUGGCAUUGCUAAGACUAGAUUUAUUAGAGUAGUUUAUUAAUCUGGCCAUUGUAUGCAACAAUUGAUUCUUUAAAAGACAUCAAGAAUAAAGAUUUGGUUGAAGAUGUACAAAUGAAGCGAUGGCAACACCUUCUAAGUUUUUGGAAGCUUAUUCAUCUAAGCCAAAGCCUAUAUAAAUUUACAUAAUAGGAAAUUGAGCAAAAAAAGACUCAUCAUUAUCAAAAAGGUUUCUACUUAUAUUGUAGAGAAUCCAAGCAUACAACUCAAUAUUUUCCUAAAAAACUUAAUCAAAAAAUAAAGAGCUUGGUUGUGAAAGAAGACAAUGUGUCAAAAAAUAAAAUCUUUAAGCUACAAUAGAGACUAUGCAGUUGGAAUCUUAUACAUUAUCUAGUAAAGGUUUUAUUUUUUCCUCAGAUCUCUCACCUUAUUUUAUAAUAGAAGUUUAUUUAAGACCAACUAUGAAGGAUAUGAAAUAAAAGUUGAUGCAUAAACAAUGAAAUCCAUGUCAAAGAAAGAGUGACAAAAUAGAAAUAAGAAAGUAUGUAUAUUAAAAGAAACUCGAAAGGCUUAUUACUAAAAGACAAGAAAACUUGAGACUCUUGAAACUAGACUAGAAGCAAGAAAGGAGUUGACAAGAGUGAAGAAGGCUUCACUCUUGUCUCUAUAUAUACUAUCUAAUUAAGGGCUAUGUGGUGAUGUUCUACAUGACCUUCAAUGUGUGUUGACUUUGUAGGACACAUGCCUUGACUUAUAAGGUAAGUUUUUCUACGUGUGGGCCACAUAGUUAGGUUGAUCUUCAAGCUAACAACAUGUGUGGCACAUGGCCAAUUUAUUGACCACGUUUUUAGUCCAAAAAGUCAAUUAAAGAUACCUAUAAAGUCAAAGUAACACCUAUAAAGUCAAAGCAACAUCUAUAAAGCUUCUAAGAAGCUUCCAUAGAAGAUAUUAUAGAAUUAACUUGCUUUUAAUUACUUCUAUUUAUCUAUUUAUACAAGUAAUUACUAGCUUAUAUGCAUAUGUCUAUGACAUUAUUCUCCCUUCUAGGGAUGAGUUCCAUGAAAAGUAGUCAUCAUAUCUUGAAGAAAUCUAUGAUGUGACGAAUUGUAUUCACCACAUACUUAGAUCUUUAUUUUCUUUGAAGAUGGUUGAUGGGGCCUCUCAACCAUUGAUAGUAUCCCAUACCAGGGCGGAAAGACCAUCCUAUUAUCUGACCGUUGUUGAGGCCUUCAUAACUUCUUUCAAAUAAAAUAUUUAGAACACCAUUAGGAAUUGUUUCUACCUCUAAUAAAAUUAUCAAACAUCAGGAGUCUCUUCCAAGGUUGUGAUACCAAAAAAUAUUUCUUCUACUCAAAAAAUAUCUUACUUUAUUACUUAUAAUUAUCAUCCAUAAGUUGAUACUUUUGACUUUUUAAAAAUUAAUAAUCUAAUGGAAGAAAAUUUGGCAAAUUAUUUAUAAGAUCUACAUAUAAUAAUGAAGCGACAAUUAAUAAAAGAUUAAGUAUAAAAAAAGACUAUGUAGAUAUUUAUUAUAAGAAAUAACUUGAAUUCCACAAUUAUCAUUUAUAUCUACAUGUGUCAAUAAAGAUUCAUUCUAUAUUCCAUGUAUUUCUUUUUAAGCCAUAUAAAACAAUAGAUAUAUCAAAAAAAAGAUAAAUAACACCUCUUCUUAUAAAAAAAAUAAAAAAAUAAAAAUAAAAAAAUAAAGUUGAAGAAUUCUUAAAUUCAAGCUAAUGUCAAAAUAGGUUGGAAUAUUUUGCAUAUUAGCAUGGAUAUAAUAUUAGUAAGUAUAGAUAAGAGCUAGCCAAAAAUCUUGCAAAUGUAGCAAAGAAGGUUGAUGCUUUUUAUUAUCAACAUUCAUCAAAAUCUGGAUAAAGAAUCAAGCAAUUCUAUUAUUACAAAAAAAAAAAAAAAAAAAAAAAAAAAAAAAAUUAUUGAAGAUUGUAUUCUAUUUUGUAUAUUUAUAUAUAAUUUAUGUAUACUUAUAUCAUUAAUGAGAUAAAAGAUCAAUAACUACCAAAAUCAAAUCACAAGGUAUUAUUUGUUGAAUUUGUAGAUAAUCCUAUGAAAUUAUCAUGGACUUCAAGAUGAUAUAAUAGAAAUAAAGAUGCCUAAGAAUGAUAAGCUUUUUUUCAAAUAGAUAGUGCAAUAAUGAAAUAGUGAGAUAUAAUAUGUCUUUGAAAAAAGUACCUUAUUGUAUACAACUAAAGUUUAAGAUAAUUUGUGGUAGCAUAAGUAAAAUAAACUAUAAUAGCAUAUAGUAGAUGACAAGUUGUAGUAGUAAUAGCAACACAUUACAUAUAUAUAUAUAUAUAUAUAUAUAUAUAUUAUUUAUUUUUAUUUAUAUAUUUAUUUAUUUACAUACAUAUAAAUUAUAAUUAUACAUCUAUAUGUACAUACAUGUUAUAAUUAUAAAUAAAAAAAAAUAACAAGUUUAAGAUAUAAAAGUUCAUAACAAUGAUAAUCAUGUAAAUAAAAAUAAAUAAAUCAAGUUCUAAAUUUUGAUAAUAAAUUUGCAAGAUCUUAUACAUACAUGCAUACAUACAAACACACAAUUGAAUUAAAAUGCAUACAUUUAUACUUUCAAAAUAUUGAAUGAAUUAGAAUUGUAAGUGAACUUAAAAUUGUUUGUAAACUUUUUGAAUAAAAUCAACAUUUCAAAAAACAAAUACAAACUUUUACAUAUUGAUACAAUCAGAAUUCUGAUUUGACAUUGUUGGUUUAAUUGUUUGUAAUAAUGUGGAGUAAUUAUUGUCAUUACAAUAGCAUAGGAGUAAUUAGGUAUGUCAGAUUCAUAGACUUGACAUUCACUACAAUUAUAGUUUUUAUUAAUUAAAAAUGAUAUAUCCAGUUUUCAGUUGUAUACUUUAAAGAGAUUAUUGUAUUUGUGUUUUUUCUAAAUGUUUCAUAUAUUUGUUUAAAAAUUAAAAUGUGUAUGUUCUUGUAUGUAUAUAUGAAUGUAUGUAUGUAUACAAAAUUAUUUUUUCAGAAACAUAGAUCCUGUAAUAACUACAAACUUAUAAAGGUUUAUUUAUAUACUACUUUGGAAAAAUAAAGGUGGAGAUAGAACAAAACAUUUGAAAAUAAUCACAUAUUAUAAAAACUUAACUAAAUAAGUGUUAGUUUUUGUAAGAAAUAUGUUAAUUUGAAGUCAUGAACUGAAUACUAAAUGUACCUUUACCAAUUUCUGAGGUCUUCAUUAAAAAAGAGGCCUAAAAAAGAAAUUAAAAAUGUGGGUGUUGGUUCAUUUGUCAAAGAUAUUUAAUCAUGAAUUUUCAAAUUUAAAAAUAUAUAAAAUGUUGUGUUCUAUGAUUUGUCACACCAUGAAAUAUCAACAACAGUUUUGAAGAGUAAGAUAUGAAGUACAGCACUUCAGAACAUAAUCAACAUAUAAAAGCAUCUAUCUUGUUCAAAUACUAAUUUAGUUUUGAGAUCUCAUGGUAAUACAGUCUAAAUAAGAAAUGCGCAACAUUUUUAUAUCAGUAAGUAUCAUAAGUUACAACGAUAAAUUAAACAAAUAAAUGCAUAAAUGGAUAAUGGCUCCCAUGCGGCGUUCAUAGGUCCCAGAAGUUGAAGUAGGCAGUUAAAGACCUCUAGAGGUUAUUGAAGGUGGUUAUAGGCCCGAAUAGACUGGGUCACCAAACUGCAGUCUUCCGAGGACACAAGACGCAUGUAGAUGCUCGCUGAGUUGAUCCUGAAACCAAUCACAUUCUGUCAAAUAAGUAACACAAUGAGCAGCAUUGUUUUAGAAUGGUCCGGACAAACUGAUGAACGAUUUGUCACCACGUAAAGAUGUAGAUCUUUCGUGAUGAACCAGAAGAAACCAGGAAAAACCACGCAGAACCCGAAAACUUCGACACUUUCGAUGAAUUGCUCCUGGAGUCUAGGCUUCCAAUCACUUUGUGCCAUCAAUUGCGCAGGUUUAGAUAUAGUGACUCGGCAUAAUUUCGUCGCACCCUGUUUUUCGAGGUCUGAUCGGUCGGUGUAUUUGCACGUACAGUGGUUGGGUGUGGUUCUAACUCCAACGGCAUCGACCAACUUCUCGCUGCAGCUCUUCUCUGCUCCGAGCUUCUGGUUCAUCGAGGUGGGGUCUUCGGCAAAGCUCGACGGUGCUGCGCACAUGUCGUUGCGCGGCGAUUGCCGAAAUCCUGCUGUUGCACGGACUGGGUCUCGGGGUGCUUAAUGCCUCGUCAAUAGUUCACACGAUUGUUUUAUGUACAGAAUCUAUCUUUACUUGACGGUUGCUCGAUUCACGCCGUGACCGCUCAUCGAUCCGAUGAUUGAAGUGGAGACCGAGUUUCAGUGUCGGUGAAUUGUAGCGACAGAGGGCAACAAGAUCGGUGAAGCAUAUGCGAUCUGGCUCGAAAAGAACGUGUUUCAAAUUGUUCCUAUAUAAAUUGAAGCACGUUGCUUGUGCUCAAAACAAAGGCAUGUUCGAAUCUAUUACAUGUUUGAAGUAUACUAUGAAAGUUUGUUAUGGCAUAAUACCGCUACGUAUACUUGUACAUAGAUUCAUCCCAAUGCAUCUAUACUUCAUAUAUUCGAAUUCACGUGUUGAAAUAUCUGUAUAAAUUGAAGCAUCCUAUAAAAUAAACUAUUAAUAAUCAUUGAGCUUGAGUCCUAAUUCAUGGCAGACAUUCAUGAGAUCGCAACGUAUAAUAUUUUCUAAGUUGACAAAAUUAUUUUCUGUUUGAUUGGGAAACAUGUGAAAACAUGCAACGUGACACAAGCUGAUUCAGUGAUCUCAACCAGUUAAGCGUGCAAGAUUGGCAACAAAAUCGUCUGAGAAUCCUUCAUCUGUAGAACAUGAAACGUGGGUACAAAGAAGGUUCUCUACCCUUUUCCUACUUUUAAGUAUAGUUUAGUAACUGAUUCGUUGAUUGGUAACAUGAGCUGUAAUAAAAUUAUUGUGGUUGAAUCAUGGAAGGCAAAUAAAGAUGUGGAAUGAUUGUAAGUUGUUUAUUAGUAGUUGUAUUAAAUACCCAUAAUGUACAGGCGUUUUGUAUGUAUCAAACUGAUUGAGGAAUUUCAAUUGAUUAAUUAUAUGCUUGUGGAAUACACAAGUUAGCAUGUGUCCACAAAUCUUGUCCUAUGUGAUUGUAAUUGAUUGUUACUGUAACAAUCAACCACGUUUAGUAAUAAUCAGAUACACAGUCAAAAUCAAAAAUAUGAUUUGUGCAUAUAUAUAUAUAUAUAUAUAUAUGUGUGUGUGUAUGCAUAAGUGUAUGUAUAAAAGAAACAGCUGUUGGCUUUAUUUUUAAUGCCAAUACAUGAUACUUUUUAAUUGAUUUUUAAACCAAUAUAGGCAUGUUAAAUUAUCACUUUCUAUGCAUCGGUAACAAGAGCUAUCAUGUAUUGUUUCCUAUUUUUUUGAAGCACUUUAAACUUCAAUAAUUGUUUGUAAAUGUAUAAUAAAUUAAAUUAUAUGUUAGUAAUUCUGAUUGAUAUAUUUUUUAUGUUUAUAUGUUCCUUUUUAUAAAAUCAAAACUAUGUGUAAGUUCAUAAUACCUUCUAAAAUUAUAAUAAUUUAAUAGAACAUUGAUAACAUAGUUGCAACUUUUAUAUAUAUAUAUAUAUAUAUAGAUUCCUUUCAAAACAUGUUAUAAAUUUGAUGUCAAAUAAUUUACUAAAAUUAUCCUAUUGUUUUUUAAGUUAUUUAAAAAAUUCAUGGGCAUUCUUUUUGUGAUGUAGUUCCAAUAAAAUAUUGGAAUAAAUUAUAUAAAUAUACUCAUUCAUAUUAUUAAAAACCCAAUCCAUUGGAAAAACAAAUAUUUGUAGUAAAAUUCAUAGAUAUAGUACAAAAAAAUUUAAUUAAAAAAAAGUAAGUGUAAUAUAUAUAUAUAUAUAUAUAUAUAUAUUGACAUUUAUAUUUAAGAAUAUAUUUUUUUCUAAAAACUUCAUGAUUAAUUAUGUAUUAAUUUGACUUUUAGUAUUAAAAAAUGUUUGUGAUGUGAAAGUCAAUCUUAUAUGUUUACUUUUAUCUUAGAGACAUUGUCAAUAUUAUAAACAUAUUUAGUUACAUUUAUAUGUACUGUUUUAGAACCAUGUAAAUUAAAUCUUCUUUUUUCUGUAUACAAAUUUUAAAAGAACUUUAUUUGAAGAGUAUACAAUUCAUUCACCAAUAAGAGAAUUUGUUUAUCUCAGUAAAAAUUUGCUUCUAUCAAAACCUAUCAUAUAUUAAUUGAAACAUAUAUUAUUUAGUAUACCAAUUACAUUUGUAGAGUCUUCUUUAAAAUCUCUACUAUACUUAUGGUAAUAUUCUAUUAUUCAAAUUGAUUUAUUUAUUUGCUCAAUAUACCAAUCAUUUCUAACAUACUCACAAAAAUAUCCCACUAUUUAUUAAUACAAGCUAAUUCUAUUGUUUAAACAAUAAUAUUCAAUAGUCCAAGUAUGAGUUAGACCUUGACACAUUCCAAAUAUGCAUGCAAAAUUACGAAAAAACACAUGCGUAAUUAAAUUCUAUUGUGUAUCUUUACAUGAUCAUUCUCACCUUAAAGUUUUUGUCCAUUAGGCACAUUAAUACUACUAUAGUCUUUUUUCUCUUGUGCUCACCAAUAUUAUAAUAUUCUUGUAGCACUUACAAUAAAGAACUUUCACUCAAUUUAAAUCAAGCCAUCUACAUUGUAUAGUGUUUAUGCAUGAAUUAAAAGUGGUAUAUAUACAUUAAAUGUGAAUUUCUUUGAUUUCUUCAUCUAUGCAUUUGCAUCAAAGAUUCUAUCUAUUUGUAAUGACUUGUAUUUAUGUCUUCUCAAUCUACAUUGAUCUUGACAAUGAUGUUAAAUUUAUUAAAAUGUAUAAUGCAAUUUUUGUUGCUUUGUUUUGUUAAUAUUUAUGUUUCAUUUUGUGUAAAAGUACUAUGUAAAUUAUGAAACGUAAUAAUUAAAAUUAAUAUCUUCAAAAACUUGUAAAACAAAAAAAAUUUAUAGUGUUAGGAAUUUCACAUCUAAAUCAAAUUUAUUUAAUGUAUUAACAAUUGUUGAAAUCAAAUGUAACAAAAUAUAAAAUACAAUGCAUAUGUUAUAUAUAUAUAUAUAUAUAUAUAUAUAUAAAUAAAUUUUUCACAAUAACGCCCUCUUUGUACUUGGAGAAUAAAUCUUCAAAAAAAAAUUCUAUAUAAAGUGGUUGUGACUCCUAAUCAACUAUAGUAAAACUAUGUUCUCACUAUAACUAGCCUCUUGACCAAUAGGACUUUUUAUUGCUCUAAUUUUUAUUUUUGCUUUGAUUGACACAAAUAGAUAAUUUAACAAAAAAAUUAAAAUAAGAACCAAUUUAAACUCAUAAUAGUUAUUAUAAUGUCAUCACUAUAUUAUUUGUAAUCACUACAUAUCUUAACAAUUAAAAAAAUAGAAUUAUUAAAUUGACCCAAGCAUUUACUUAAUCAAACCACCCAUCCUUACCAUCAUCAAGAAAUUCUCCUCUACCAGAUCUGCAUUGGUCAAAAACUAAUGAAAAAAAUAAUUGGAUCCUCAACCAAUGAUGAUGAGUAGAUUGAUUUAGUGAAUGCUUGGGUCAGUUUAACGAUCCCCUAACAAAAUGAUUUUUUGAAGUAAAAUCAGUAGGAUGGAACAGAAUUCGUCGCCCACAUUCCGAAAAUAACCACGAUAACUGAAAAAGGCGAUGGAUUCCGUGAGAAAGUAAUGCUUUUACUUGAAACAAACCGCGUUCCAGAAAUAAAAAAAACAGAAUCAAUGACGUGGCCACUUCGGCGAGGGUCACAUCGCCAACUAGGCACGCAUGAUACACGUCAUCAACUAAAGUUGGGGGAGCGAUGAGUCAGCAAUCCGGUGUCCUCUUUCACAUCAACGCUGCUUGUGAAGAGGAAGGAAGUCGUAAGCUCAUCACACGGCUCAUGUGGUGACAGGUCCUCCUCGCCUACGCGGUGGUGGGGCUUCAGUGAGACGAGGUACCCGCAGAUGUCACGAAGUCGAGGAGGGAAAAUGAAAGGCACUUUCGAUCGAUCGAUCGAUCUCUCUAUUUUUUUCUCUUCCUCCUCUUCGUGUCGUUCUCGAAUCUCCCCAGAACGUUCAAGAAGCGUGUGCUAUUUUUAAUGCGGUCUCAUUCUUGAUCGGAAUCGCCCGGCGCACACAGUAACGAACAGCGGCACUUCAGAGACCAACGAUUUGAUGCGUGAGAACUGGUGUGGAACCGGCACUGUUCAUGUGGAAGAAGCUUCGGAGAAACGGAAGUAAUUGGAGGGUGGGGGCCAGGGCGGGGCUGAGCAGAAUGGAGGUGGAUAGGACGCGAGGCAUUGCCAUGGCGGAACGGAAACGAUCGAUGACUGCCAUCUUGGCAUGGCGGAUUGUCCCAGUCUCACAGACAAACUGGAAAACCACUAGUAACUGACUGAAGUUGAUGUGGAGUUUCACGGGCGUAAAUUACUAUUUUCGAUGUAAAUAAUCCUCCAGAAACCAAAGACCCUUACCCGAAACGAAUUGUGCGUUGUUUGUAUGAGCUGGUGCAGCAUAAAGACUCUCUCGUGAGUGCGUUCGCUUGAAUUGCUAGGUAGAACUUUUGUGUCGAAGAGGCGGAGUGAGAGGAGUAGGAGGUGAGGUUCUGGUGGUGAAAUUUACGAGGGAGAGUUGAUUUGGAAGCUGAAUUGGCGGCGAGUUGCGGAGUACUGGUGGUGAGUUAUGGUGUCAAAGCAUUGGCUGGAGGUCGAGCCCAUGGAGUGUAAUGGAGAGGCGCAAGAACGCAAGCAGCGGUGGAUUUUGGUAACUGGAGGCGCCGGCUACAUCGGCACCCACACCGUCUUGCAGUUAUUGAUGGAGGGAUACUGUGUUGUGAUAAUUGACAAUUUGGAUAACUCCUGUGAAGAAGCCCUGCAUCGCGUGCGCAAGUUAGCGGGCGAAUUUGGAGAGAAUUUGAAGUUUGUUAAGGUUUAUUCAUUGGCCGUUCAACUUCGCUUCGUUGUGCGAUUGUAGCAAUUUUUAUUUCACGAAGAGGUCGCUGUGGACUUGGUGCUGUCGCGUUAUACCCGUCCACUUGCAUGAUUAAAACCAACAAAUAUGUGUUCACGGUUUCAAGGAGGUCUGUAGGGGUAGUGUUUUUGUCAUUGUUAGCGCAUGUUGUUUUACAGUUAUUUGCUUGAAAAAUGUUAUUGCUCUGUUGUGUGCGUCGUCUACAAACAGCGCGCGGUGCAUGCUUGUUUCACCUAGCUGUCUCUUUGUGCUUUUUAACUUUCUUUGAGGGAUUAUGAAAGAUUGUUUCGUGGUGAAUAUCUAUGUGUGAAAUACACAUGCAGUUGAGGAUGAAUUUUACGGAGAUCUCGUUUGGCCUUAUUUUGAUGAGUCAUCGAAGACCUAUGCUGAGGUUUUAUUUACACGUAAAUAUGCAGGGGGAUCUUUGUAAGGUGGAAGACGUACUUAAGGUGUUCAAGCUUCACAGGUAUGCCAUGUGAAGAAAUUUCAUUUUUCGUCUACUGCACCCAACGUGAACUUAUUGGAUGGAUGCAACACUUAAUUGCAGGGUAAUAGAUAUAGUGCAGCCGUAAUGUUGCUAGUGUUUGUCAUUACACCUAAUUUUGUGCUUAAGAUAAUAGUUCGUGGUUUAUCACACCUGUGAAAUAUUCUUACAAUUCAAAAUCGGCAGGUUCGAUGCUGUCAUUCACUUUGCAGGCCUGAAGGCUGUAGGAGAAAGUGUGUCGAAGCCUUUGCGUUACUACAGCAACAAUCUAAUAAGCACCAUUAAUCUUAUGGAUGUCAUGUCCAAGAACAACUGCAAAAAUGUGAGAAUAUUUCCCACCACAGGGGUAGCUCAAGUGGAUAGACACUCAAUGUUACUACUGCUCAGUUCUCGUGAAUGUCUUAAGAUAGUGGUUAGUGAGAAGCAUCCUACCAUUAAAAUUCGUAUCUCUUGAAAUUUUAAUAUGAGUGGACCAUUGGAUGCAGCUUGUGUUCUCAUCUUCAGCAACAGUGUACGGACAACCGGAGUGCGUACCUUGUACAGAGGACUAUCCACUCCAUGUCAUGAAUCCUUACGGCCGCACCAAGGUACUCAUCAGCGUCAGAAGUCUAGAGACGUUGUGAGGGCAGAAUGUAGCGACACAGGCAUCAGUUUGUUUUGACGAAAUUGGUGAAGACUUUGUGAUUGUAAGGUCACGUUUGGGUGCCGCACUGGAAUAUGUGAACGAGGGCUUAAGGUUCGAUGUGGAACUUGUGCAGCUUUUUAAUGAAGACAUUAUGCGUGAUGUUCAUCAUGCGGAUUCAGAAUGGAAGAUUGUGUUAUUACGAUAUUUCAAUCCGGUGGGGUCCCACCCGAGUGGUGAGAUUGGUGAAGAUCCCAUGGAUUAUCCCAACAAUUUGAUGCCCUUCGUGCAACAAGUUGCAGUGGGUCGUAGAGAAAUGCUCACUGUCUUCGGCAAAGAUUACAAAACCCGUGAUGGAACUGGGGUUAGGUUUUAUGAACUCCAGAUGAUCGUAUUAUUUGCUGGAGGACUGGACCACAAAUUUCGCGGAUAAUUUUUUAAAAAGAAAUAAGAAAUAUAUCUUCAAUUUUUAAUUUAUUUGAUUUUCACAAUAUUGUUUCGGAUUGAAACUUACGAAUUUAUUUUUAAAAUAUCGCACUCUGAAUGAACAACUGUGAUUUGGUGUUUCAGGUCCGAGAUUACAUUCAUGUCAUGGAUUUGGCAAGUGGUCAUACGAAGGCUCUGGACAAACUCUUCACAACUCCCGACAUAGGUACGACCUGUCAUUCUUUUGAGUCUGGAAAUGCAAUGUGGGUUCGUAGGGGAGUUGAAAUUUUGAUGGAAUAAACAUGUUUGCACUUAUUUGAAGAGUACAUAGCCUUCUGGACUCGUCCUUGGCUCACUAACUUAGCAAUGGUCACUUUAGUCCGCACGUCGAAAAGCGUGGAUAAUUUACUAUGUGUUUAGGAAAAAAAUUAACUUCUUUAUUUCGGCAGGAUGUGCAAUUUACAAUUUGGGAACAGGGAAAGGCACCACUGUGCUUGAGAUGGUGGCAGCAUUUGAAGAAGCAUCUGGAAAGGUAGCCGUUGAUUUAUUUGAUUGUAUAUAUGUGAUGGAAGUGUGCUGUUUACCUGAAAGAAUGUGGGUGGGGAUUGACACAUUAAAUGUUCAACCUUCUUUGCAGAAAAUUCCAUUGAGAUUUGCAGGUCGUCGUCCUGGCGACUCCAGUGAGGUCUUUGCUUCAACUGAGAAAGCAGAAAAGGAGUUAGGUUGGAGGUGAUUUAUUUUCUCCUCCUUUUCUACACGAUUCUUUUUAGGAUUGAUCAAUUUUAGCAGUAGUCCAUCGUACUUCGUGUAUGAUCAAUUUUGGUCAGUGUGUCAUCCUGUUCAAGAACUCGUGCUUACAUUUUUUUUGGUCGUGUUUUGUAAUCAUGUUCGUGGUGGCAAAUGUAACUUCUAAAUUCGUUUUAACCUGGUCUGGCGUUACAGAGCCAAGUUUGGCAUAAAAGAGAUGUGUCGUGAUCAAUGGAAUUGGGCAAAAACGAACCCGUAUGGAUAUCGAGGCCAACAAGAACUGGAGGUCACCACACAGAAAUCCAUGAGUAAUGGACAUCGAAAACUGUAGUGGUUGUCACUUUGAACGAAUGAUCACAUGGUGUUGUGUAAACUCACUUUUAUACAAAUGCGAACAAUAGAAAAGAAAAGACCAGAUUUUUUUUUAAGGAUUGGAUCAGAUUCGAUCUUAUGCAUUUCUCUGUCUCGUAAUAGCCAUCGAGACUUUGACAUAGAGAUAACUCCCUUCAUGGUAGUUAGUAAUAACAUAAUUUACUCCUAAACUUGGGGCUAGUCUACUGAAACAUUGAACCUGAUUUAUGGAGCAAAGGUGCCUAGUUUCGAAUAUGGCAGGUGAAGCACUUGAAACUAGGAUGAUACGUUUAACUUUCGGCAAGUAGCAUUUGAUUCUUUGUACAUAAAGAGAUCAUCAGUAUCUGUGGAGCUGCUGCGUGAAUUCCAGAUUCAAUAAAGUGUAACAGACGCAGUUCAUGAUUCUUGUGGAAUUGCUGGUUUCAGAAAAACAAUUCUCUUGCACAUCGAAACAGACAUCCUAUUCAGAUCGGGUUGAGAGUGUUUCUCAAUCUUUGAACAGCUAUUUAAUCGCUGAUCCUGUUUCUGACCUUGUAGGAUUCUUUAGAGCUUAGCACUGUUUAAGCGAAACUGGAAAAGUUCGAGUGGGAGUUCAGCACCGGUGGCAUUUGGGCAUCAUCCCUACCCUAUAUUCCAGGUUCUUUAAAAAAUCUUUUGGUGCAAGGCUACACGGACAAGCGAGGUCCAAUACCCUAGCUCCGUAAACUUAAAAAUACAAGUUCUGGCAUACGAGGGUAAUCAAAUAUCAAGUGUCAAUCAUAUCCUCCUGGAGGUUGGGGCCCUCAUUCUCGAUCUAACAUGUGAGUGUCACCCUCGAUUCGAUAUCCGAAAUGAUCCCUGCGUGGGAAAGAAACCUGGGGCAUCAACUACCCAGCAGGCCAUUGGAGCAAAUCCUCGGCAAGCAGCCACAGCCUUACGGCACCACAUGGAGGGGGAUAUUGUAAUCCCUUUACGCAACGUGCAACAUGGAUUACAUGAAGUUGCCUUCAUAUUUAGCGUUGCCGUCCUCGUCUCGAAACCUCCUGCUACUGGGGUAUCGUUCGGUUACCAAUCCAAGCAAGACAAUGUUCGAAGGCUUCGCAGCAGCCUUUGGGAUUUGAUCUCUUCCAUGCGAACCAAUGUUGUCCAGUGCCCAUAUUCCGACGUAAAUUCUUUUCAUCACAUGAAUACAUUCAAGAGACAAAAAAUUGCCUUUGGCAUUAAAUACAUUAUAAUAUAUUUCAAAACUUAUUUUUUAUAAAUUUAUCCAAUAGUAAUUAUUGGCUUUAGAAUUGAGAUUUACACAUAAUUUCAUUCUUCAUUACAAACUCAAAUUGACAUUUAUAUUAUACUUGCAUGUAAGCACAUCCUUUCUAUAAAUUUAUUAAGUUUUUGAUGGUUAUGCUAAAUCAAUAUGUAUUAGUAUAUUGCUAUAUGCUACUGUUGUUGGAUAAUUUUGUUAAUGACCAAUUAUUUUACUUGAUAUAAGAUGCCAAAUAUAAGCUAAUUGCUAUUAUAAUUACAAAAUAAAUUUAAAAGUUUAAAGAAUCACAUUGGUAAGAACUAUAAAUUUAAUAUUUAAAAAUUUAAUAUGUUGACUUUAAAAUUCCAUAUUUAUUUGAAUUUAUUUUAAAAAAAAGAUUCUAAAUUAUCUUAUAGUAUAAGAAAAAUUAUACAAAACAUUAUCUAUCUAUUAAAUUUAUAUUAAACUAAUUUAUUAAAAGAAAUUUAAAAAUAUGUAUACACAAAUUUCUAUUAACAAGAUGUCAAGUAUUUAUUAUAUAAGCUAUCUUGGAUAUAAGACAAAGAGACAAAGAAGUUUUUUGAUUGAUUGUGAAGAAGAAAACUCAAAGAACUUGGGAAAUACAAGGAACAUAGGGAACGUGGGAACAAAAGAAUGUUGAACUUAUGGAAAGUGGGAAAUAGGGAAUAUGAGAACAAAAAAACCAACAUGAGAAUGAGAGAAUGUAGAAACGUAGGAACUAAGGAACAUGGAAAUGAAGGAGCAUGAAUAAAUGAGGAAAUGGAUGGAUGUGCCAAAGAUUACAAUUCUCAAUGGUAUAAGUUUCUGCCAAUAUUAUAUAUAUAUAUAUAUAUAUAUAUAUAUUGAUGUUUAUAUUUGAUGUAAUAAUAAGAUUAUUUUUUAUUAUUUUUUAUAUUUUAAAUAAUAAAAAAUUAUUAUAUAUAUAUUUAAAAUUAAAUUAUUUGAUAUGAAUAAUAUUUUUACAAUAUAUAAUAUUAUAUAUAAAGUUAUAUAAAAUUAAAUUUAAUAAUUUUUGUAUCAAUUAAUUUAUUUAUCUAAAUUAAUUGAAGAAAUUAUUGUUAUAGAAAUUAUAAUUUAAUUGACACAUAUUUGAAGCUUAAUAUUGAAUUUAUAAAAAAUAUUCUUUUAUUUUAUAAAAAAAAUGUUAAAACUAUAGUUAUUAUUUUAAAUAUAUGUUAUAUAUUUAGGAAAAUGAUAAAGCAAACCAAGUUUUUACUAAAUCAAUUCACAUGCCUCAUUUCCAACUGUUCCUCUGUUUCCUUGUUUCCAACAGUUGCCACUGUUUCCAACCCCAUGUCCCAUCUUUAGCAAUGGUUGGAAAACAAGAAAUGGUUGGGAACAAGAAGUAAUUGAGAACAAGAAUGGAGGCUCUAAGGAUGUAGUGAUGCUUAAGAUAGAGUGGAUCACUUUAGUAAAAAUUUGGGUUGCUUUAUCAUUCUUCUAUAUUUAUCCUAUUUUAUUUCAAUGACUUAUUUAAUUAUAAGUUAUAUUUAAAAUGGUUUUUCUUAAUAAUUAUUGUUAUUUUGGGUCAAUUCUAAAGACCUAAAAAAUAAAAUUGAUAGAUAGAUAUAAGAUGUCAAAGAACAAAAAGUUCUUCAUAAAAUAAUAUCUUUUACAAGUUUUUAUUUAUUUAUUUAUUUUAUGCUCAUUAAUGUGGAAUGAGAGACAUCUCUUAUUUAACAUCAAUAGAAAAAAAUUACAAUUUUAAGAAUUGGUUUGUAUAUAUAUAUAUAUAUAUAUAUAUAUAAGCAUUUUGAUGUCUUUUACAAUCAAUAAUCAAACAUGUGAUCUUAUUUAAUGCACAAAUAAUCUCAUAAUGAUUAAAAUGUGACUAUGUUCUUAUAUUAAUAGUUAUUCAAAUUGACAUUAUAAUAAAUAUAUUAAAUUGUAUUUAUAUUCAUAUGCAUUAGAUUAUAGAUAUUAGAAACAAAUGCUUUAUUGGAUUUUAAAUUAAUUUUUGUAUGUUUUUAAUGGAAAAUUAUCUUAAAAUAUCAUUUUGAAUAGUUUAUGAAUUAUUUCAAAAUCAAAAAGGGUAAUUUUAUUUUUUAAAAUAAUUAUUUAUUAACUUCUCAUCUGUAAAUUGUUUUCAUAUUUAUGAAGUUUAAACUCAAUUUAAAUAAUAAAUUGAACCAAAAAGAAUUGAAAUUAACUUUAUGAGGUUAUAUUGUUAUUUUUGUAUUCUUCCUAUGUGUCUAAAAUAUAAGAAACCAACAUAUUCAAAUCCCAUAAUGUAGAAUUAAAAUUGUAAAAAUUAGACAAGAGGCUUAAUUGAAUAUUUGAUUUUAUAAAUGUGACUUGGUUCUUUUUGAGAAAGAAUUUCACAAAAAAAUAUCAUAUAUAUAUAUAUAUAUAUAUAUAUAUAAGGUUUCUUUCUACAUUCACGUAUUAAUUUAUAAAAGUAACUUUAGAAACUCACAUUAUGUUUUAAUUUAGAAUAGUUGGAGAAAUCAUUUUGACUUUUACAUUAAACAUAAAGUUCUACAAAACUUUUUUAAAAUUUUAUCAAAAUAGCAUUCUACAUGGAUGUGAUGCAUUCUUUAAUUUUAAUAUAAAAAAGAUUGUUAGUGACGCAACAUGAUGACUUGGAUGUAAGUGAUUGGAUGGAGUUACCAUGACAAUGGCAAGACUCCAACAUUCGAUGUGAAGCCACGGAGACAGAAGAAGCUCCCAAUUCCAAACCGAGAUUUAGAACCGGCGAAUCCUACCUGAGCAUGUCAAUAGCAAGUACCAACUGUACAACUUCUGCUUACCCGGGUAUCUGUAGCACAUACUAUACCUGUUCAUACACCCGCCCAGUCAUGAGAAUGUGGAACAUACCCGUUAGCCUAGGUAGAGUGCAAAUAUUAGGGUUUACUCCUCAUCGAUGUCUUUCAGGGCUUCGCGACACUGUUUCUGUUGCAGACAAAUGAUUCUUCCGACGUAGGUUUCAUCAAUUUCGUUUUACGGACUGUGCAGCUCGGAGUAUGGAGAGCGCGGCGCUCCGCAGAGCGUUGUGCUGCCCUCGCAUUCGUUAAUUUCGAGGGUUUCUUCAUCCUCCAACCAUACUACGUCCCUAUUCGGCACUUGCUUCGCUGGAGUCGGUUUGGAAAUUGGUUCAGGAAAUGUCAUCUUCUCUGAGCUUCAGCUGAGAAAACGGCGGUUUCAUUGUAAUUUUUGGAUUUUUUUUUUUGGUUAAGUGAGGCUUCCAGAGAAUUCUACGCGUGAGAGCCAGGUUGAUGACAUUGGAGGGGUUAGGAUUUUCGUCGCCAUGGCUGCGCCGGACGAGGCCAUGUUUUUGUAUGACACUUUAGCGCCGCUUGGGGAUGAAAAUUCAGAGAUCGGGAAGAGAGAUUAUACCAGCUUGAAUACUUCCUUUCUGCCGCUUGGAAGCGACGGGAGUCCGAGUAGAGAGGACUCUGUAGUUGAACUGAUAACGUCGUCUGUGGAACGGCAAGAGGCAAAGGUUUUGAGGAACUCGUCACAGAAGUCGAGUGGCUUAGCAGGAGGGAGCAGCUUGACAGCCCUAGUUGCCGCGGAGAAGGCGGUGCUCGCCAAAGCCUCCACCCAAGAGUUCAAAGCGAGGGCUUAUACCUCAGGUUCAACUGGCUUGGAAGUGCUCAGCACUGUUAAUACAUAUUCUCUUACUCGAACCAAUAUUCAAAGCAUUGGCAGUCCUCAAGUUGAAGACGAUGCCGAAACAUCAGAAUUUAUUGCCCUGGAUAUGGAUGACGGGAUUGAUGCGACUGUUGUACAUGAGGCAUUGCAAUAUAAAGGAAAGGGGGUGGGCAAUCUUGUAGACCGUAGUUUGGCUCCGAAAGAAGCUCCUCCCUGGGCCCGUGGUCGCGACUCAUGGAUUCAAAGUCCCCUGUUGCAGCUCCAUCAAGGUUAGUUGCUCCUGGUCAAUAAGAUAGGUUUGCUUUUCCAUGUUUUUUGUUUACAGUCUAAGAACAUCUCGGAGGCUUCAAAUCAUCCUCGCGAAUCAAUUUCUGCACACGUUUCUUUGAUGACGAUCAGUAUAGCUGCACUCAAUAUCUCAUUUACUACGUAUCGCAAUGUCCAGAGAUUGUGGAUUUCUGCGAGUUUGUUGCACCAACUGAGGAAGAACAACAGAUGCGAGAAACCGCAGUGGAGCGAGUAAGCGGUGUGGUUCAGUCAAUUUGGCCUCACUCCCAGGUAUCACAUUCAUCCUAUUUCAUGCUAUUGAGUGAUUAUUGGAUUGUUUUCGUUGAAUCUCCAUUUUGUUACGAAUUGAUGGUAUAUCUCUUGAUAUUAAUGUCGCUAUCAAAUGUGAUCGUUUUAAGUUUUUUCUAUGGAGAGCAUUGUGGGCUUCAAUUGAGGGUUAGAGGGUUUUUGUGAUAACGCAGGUGAAGGUUUUUGGUUCAUUUGCGACUGGUCUCUACCUGCCCACCAGUGAUGUUGACGUAAGCUCUUUUAUUCGGCUGUUUGAACCCAUUUUCAUACAUCCAGGAGGAUUUUAUCGUCCAAUGGAUCUUUCCUGUCUGUAGAGGGUCCAUUUUGUGAGUGGAUUUAUCUUUCUUAGCAGGUUGUUGCAAAUUCGUCUCUUUUCCAACUUUCAUUUUUUCUUCCCAAUGAAGACGAGGUUUUCAGCACGAAUGUCAAAGUUUGUACUCGAGUUCUGAACCUUUCCUUGCUACUUGGCCUUGCCAGGUGGUUGUUUUGGACUCUGGAUGUACCGCUCUACAGGAUGGAUUGAAAGCUCUUGCAAAAGCCUUGACGAGGGGUCAUGUGGGCAAAAAUAUCCAGGUUGGUAUUAUCUUGUCUCUAGCAGUCAAUUUAACUGAAGUACUUUUUCAGGGCUAUGACUGAAAAGCUUUUAUUGCACUGUACAUGCGAGUAACGGAAAUGUUGGAUGUGUGUUCAUGUGAAGAUGUUUUUCUAGUAUGCCGUAUGUUGUAAAAAUGUGCGGUGAUCCAUAAUUGAGUUUUUCAUCAUGAAAAGACUCCUGUUUGAAUCUCUACAUUGACAUAAUUUAUGUACUUAACCUGUUUUGUGUAUGCUUGGUUUUAGGUCAUCGGCAAAGCUAGAGUACCCAUUAUAAAGUUUGUGGAGACAGUAAGCAAUAUACCCUUUGAUAUCAGGUAUGUGAGGGUCAUCACGCAAACUCAGGUUCACAGCGAUCAUUUUGCCUAAAAGUCUCAAAAGUUCAAUAUGAACUGUUUCUACGCAAAGUAUGAACUGCUCUGAGAAUCCUUUUGUGUUUGUUUGUCCAAAUGUAACACUUACUAGAGAUGCUAUUGCGUAGAGCUCGGGAUCAGAAGCCUUUAAUGUUGUCUUAUGCUGCCAGUUGCAUUCGUUGUGCUCGGAGCUGAAAGUCUUAGUUUAAGUUGAAUCAAUUUAUGAGGGUCGAGCUAAGAAUUCUUGGUGCAUUUUGAGCUUAUCAGUUCGUUAGGUGACGUCUUCUGCACGGCAGUUCGAUGGUUUGUUUUGCAUUACCUGUUUAAACAUUGUCCUUCAGCAGCUUCACCAUGUUGGUGACCAAUGUGUAACCUGAUUUCUGAUAUCCUGCAGUUUUGAUGUUGCAAAUGGACCUGAGGCUGCAGACUUCAUUAAGGUACUUGCUGCAUUUAUCUUUUAUGUAACAUUCAGAGACCACUAGGUAUUGGGAAGAGCCUACGCACAUGGACUGUAGAUUUGUGGAGUUUGACAUAUUGUUUCCUAGGGUUAUUAUAUCUGGAACUUUCUUAACAUUACCUUUUCAUACAUAUAUCCUACAGGCUGCUAUGGGAGCUAUUCCACCUUUGAGGCCAUUAUGUUUGGUGUUAAAGAUAUUUUUGCAGCAACGAGAACUGAAUGAGGUAUUAUGCGUCUGCUAUUGGGGUUUUCCUCCAAGGAAACGACUCUGAAGUCAUUUGUUUUGUUUUGUUUUUGGUUUUUAUUUUUUAUACUGUCAACACUAAUCAUGUGACUUUCAACAAGGAAAUUGCCUUCCGUAGCUGCCAAAUGGUUCAGAUAUAUCAAGUGAUGAGAUGAGUCCAUUUUUAGGGUUGAUCAACCAGUAUCUCAGUUUUACAAAUUUCUUGGUUGUCUAAUAUCUCCACAACGAACUUCUGCAUGUCUAUGGCUUUUCUGUAGGUUUAUCAGGGUGGAAUCGGUUCGUAUGCUCUGCUCGUGAUGCUUUUGACUCAUCUGCAGGUUGGUUAGACCUACCUGUACCAGCGGACGGAUCCUUUUCUGCAUUUGCUGACGAGGUCUCUACGUGUCUUUAACAUUUUCAUCCUGACUCAUAAAACUUGGAACAAGAUAAAUAUAUGUACGGUGUAAGUAUUGGAGUAAGCAAACCUGGAUGUGUUAAGUGUAUAUUAGACAAGUUCUCACUCCCUUUUUGAUUAUCUCCGUGUCAUGCAGAUGCAUCCAAGCAAACGUCGUGUUAGUAGUCGUGGCCAAGGUCCUCCACUUGAAACCAAUCUCGGCAUUUUACUGGUAACAUCUCAUUCUUUAUUGAUCAUUCAGUAUAUAAAUUGGUAGUUCAUCUUUACUCAAUACUGAAGUUCCUUUGCUUACUACCCAUUUGUAUUUGGUGAAAUCCAGCUGAUGUAGUUCUUGACUACUUAGCUUAUCACAAUUAAAGGGGCGGUGAGCUUCAUACAUGUCUCACUUGGUUAUUAUUACACGUCCUCUUAUGGCCUUUGUUCCCUUGUGUGACUCAUCUGCGAUUUGAUGGUGUGGCUUAUAUCAGGUGGAUUUUUUGGAUUUGUAUGGUCGGACUCUCAACAUGAAAGAUGUGGGUAUAUCUUGUCGAGGUGGAGGAAGGUUCUUUCCCAAAAGAGAUCGAGGGUGAGAACAUGCUCAAUUUUUCAUCAUCACGAUUUAGUUCAAGUUCCUCAUUACAUGAGGCUCUGACUUGCGUCCAUGUGCUAUUGUUUUUCACAGUUUCAAUGACUCAAAGCGACCGUUUCUUCUUUGUGUUGAGGAUCCACAGGUGAGUAAUACAUCGUGUUUUUACAAUUCUGAUUGUGAGUUGUCUAGGAUAUUCUUUCUAAGUGUGUUUGUCUGAAUCGCUCAUGGAACGUUUCUCACUGUUUUUUUACAUCGUGCAGUCACCAGAUAAUGACAUUGGAAAAAAUUCUUAUGCAAUUCAGAAGGUACGUUCCAUUAGUCUCUAUCUGGACAGUUAAAAGACCCCUGAAGCAUCAAAUAUGAUCCUUUAGUUAUUGCUCGACUGUAUCAUAUCUAGAUGAUCGUGACUGACCAAAACAGUCAUGUAGUUAACAGCUUACUUAGAUUUAUCUGAUUCUUUGACUCAGGUCCGUUCAGCAUUUAUGAUGGCACAUCGGCUCUUGACAAACUUGAGUGCAAACAAUGAAGUUGGUAUACUAAGUCGAAUCGUUCGUGUGGAUGAAAAACUUGUGGGGCGCAAAGUACCUGCAGCCCUUACUCCGAUGGCACAGAGUGUGCCUGCAAAGAGAUCACGUCCGGCAACCUUUGCUGGAUACUAUCAUGAAUCCAAACCUGUGUCGGAUGAGGACCGGUAUGUUGUAGGUGAUGGAACAUUCUCAAAUUCAGAUUCCGACGAUGUACUGGCGUACAAGACUCCACAGAGAGGGCGUCGAGGUCGCUGGCAGGACUACGAGGAGGAGGAUUUUCCUAGGGGAGAAUCAGCAGAUGGUUAUCUGUCUAAGAAGGCUAAAAGAGCUCAUAAAUACAAAGAAAGGGGUAAUGAUAAAGAUCCAUAUCCUAUGCCUCAAUUUACACCUGACAAUUACAAAGAUAUUGUCUCCCUACCUAAAGAGAAAGGAAGUGAGCACUCAAGAAAACGCCGUCGAGAGGAAAACCUGAAAUCGCAUUACAACUCCAGUGAUGUACCGAGAACCAAGAAGUCAUCGAAUGUGGCGGAGAAUUCUGGUCCAGAAGAAGGAGAAGUUAAACUUGGUCGAAGAGCCAGAAAGCGUGAAGAAUUUCUGAGGUGGAAAGCUGAAAAGAGCGAACGUGAGAGCAAGAGCUCGAGCAAUGCCAUCGUGAGUGACGAGGAAACCACAAAGCGUGCAAAAUCUGCGGCUAGGGACAAUGGACGUAAUCAGCACACGCAUUGGAAUGAGGAUGAAGUAGACAAUUCCAGAAGCAGGAAGAAGCAUUCUAGAUUCAAGGAGACGCCAGCAACUAACAGGGAAAAAGACAUCAAGGAUAGGUUGAGGGGUGAUGUAUCUGAUUUUACACGCCGAAUUGUUGUUACGAAACCUGCGCACAAGAAAAUAAAGUAUAUGUAAGUUCUUCAUCCAGGAAAGCUUUGGUUGUACUAUGGUUUAUUUUGGUGCCUAAUUCAUGGUAUGUUGGUAGGUGCCGAUUUUCACUGGCAACUUCGAUUAGAUUGUUUUUGCGCAUGGGAAAGUUAUUACCGACACUUGAGUUGGACAAAUCUAUUCAAUUGAUAAAAGAAAGCUUCAGUUGGAAAAUUCGAUAUUAUGUAUAAAGUCGAAGCAAACACUUGCAAUUUAGUCUUGUACCUCGAGAGGUGUCUUCAGUGGGGUUAAUGCAAACAUGGGAAUCUAGUAUGCUUGAUCUAAACUCUGAAAGCCCAAUUCCACGCCACUAAAAGUGGGCUAAUUUUGCUCAGAAUUGGGGCACACUAGUGAGACGCUGAAGGUGAUGAGAUUGCUUUUUUUGUGUUCUUGCUAGCUUUGUUUGAAUUUGUGUCCCCACAAACAGCUAUUGGUGCCAUUCAAACCUGAAAUCAUCCUCGCUCACAAGUUCAAAGUAUAUGUACACGCUUAUUCUUAAGUAGCACUUCUAGUUGAUCACAAUGAAGCAACAUUACCUACAUGAGUGUACACAAGAAUGUAUAAAGAAGAGCCUCUUCCUUUUGUAAAGAAAAUGGGUGAUGCGAGAUCCUACAUUUGGUGCCUGCCUAAAAAAUCAUGCAUCGAGGGUGGAACCCAUCGUGUGUGUUUCCUUGCGGUGGCGUCGCCCGUUAGUGCCAAAGAUGAGCUGAGGUGGAUGGACAUGGCAGCUGCACCUCUAAAGGUUCAAAGAGUUGUGAUGUCUGUGGUUACGUAUAAAUAUUUGUUUGUUUUUUUGUUUGUUGUGCUAUUUCAUUGACCAGGUUUUGAGGUUGAUUGUAGUGUCCGUACAAUCAAAACACUUUUUGACAAACUGUGCACUGCGAUUGGGUCACAAUGUUCAUGCCCACAGAGCCACAGUUCUCUUCAGACCACAAGAGAUUUGCAAAUUUUAGCUUUAUGAUUUAGUAGGUAUCAUGUAAAAUAUUGAAGUAAUUCAUGUUUGACAAGUACUAUGAUUUUCAAUUUAUUGAUGAGUGUUUUUGACUGAGUUGUCUUAUACAUAUGUUUCUAGUUGCUCUUAAGAUUUUUUUGAAAUUAUCGUACUCUAGAUAGAGUGCAACAACUAUGUGCACCAAAAUUUUAAUUUGAAUUACUAUUUAGUUAUGAUAUACUUACAAGCUGUAGCACAGCCAAUACGAAACUUGGCAAAGGAAUCACAUUUGCUUGGAGGAAGGAAGACCAGGCACAUGUGUGCUCUUUUUAAUACAUAAAAUAGAACUCUUCGAAGGGAAGUUUCUAUAGACUUUUUCGAUGUUUCAUCUCAAUGAAGUGCUAAUAUAGCAAGAGUUCGCCUACGUGUAGUCUUCGCUACAGAAGCUUUAUGCCACUUUGAAACAUCAUUGCGAGGAAUGAUAAAUUAAGAAUUUUUUUUCUGAAUACUCCAAGUUGCAUGAGUGAUGUUGCAUUAUUUAAACAAGGUGCUCCGUCAAAAUUUUGCCUCUUCCCCAAAUCCAACCACACAACAAACACAUUAUUUACACUCGAAUUUGUUCGUAUUUUCAAAAAGGGUAAAGAAAAGCAAGCAAGACCCGGGUUGAGUUCAAUUAAGGGUUGCGGUCCUGCCCUUUGUCCUGUUCAAGUUAAAGAUUGCAUCAUUCCAUUGCGAAUCAACCUGACCUGGCAUCUCUAUCCUGCUCUCCGACUUGCAAGACCUUGACCACUACAGCACUGUGAGAGCUACAAUUCCCCCACUUGGGUGAGAAGAAUCAACUCCUGGCUUAGCUUCUUGUAGACCUGUGGUUAUGCCCUCUACUACUGAUGGCCCUGACACCACCCGAUUAGACGUUGAAUACAGUUCUCCAAGGAGUUAGCAGCCCUAAACUUACUGGCAAAACCUCUGAGAUACUAGUUCCGCGUCUGACAAUUAUCACAUCCUCUUCCGACUGCAUGGUCUGAGCUUGUGAAAGGCUGCACUCGCCUGAGCACACGGCCGAAGCUUUUUGCUGGUUUCACGUCCAUCAUAGCUCUUAACCUGCAACACAUAAUUGUCAAGAGCGCAAGCUUGAUGCUUUAUGUUGAAAUGGCAUUCACUUGUACGCAGAAAUGACAGACGGAAAUGAGUACAGCCAGGCGUUUGAUUUCGUCGAUCACUUGAGGGAGGGGGGGGGGGUGUUUGGUGCACAUUGUUUGUAGUGGUUGUGUAGCGCUGCUCAUUCGGUUGGAUUUGCAGUGGUAACAUUGACUACCUGCUUGUUGAAUUUAAAAAAGCAACAUGCAAAAAGUCGAGAAAUGCACGAACUUAGUAUCGGCAAAAAUUGUCUCAAGUAUCCUCUGACGCCAUACAUAUCGAUGAUUGUGAGGCAGUAAUACGUAUAUGAUUGAGAGUGUGUUUGGCUUCAACGCUGGAAUGAAGACAACAAUCUGAACAAACAUUAAUCUCUAUCUGAUGUCGCACACAAAGCUCAAUCUGCGCACCUAUGUAAUUUUUACACCCGUGUCCAAAAAAGUGUUAGGGGUGCACUCCGUCCACUCAGCUUCUCCGAAGCUACUCGAAGUGCUACAAUGACGGUUCUGGCUGCGGAAUAAAGUUUACAUUUCUACAUUUAUCGAAUAUGUGACAAACUGGCUUGUAUCCAGCAGCACUGAUGCAUCUAAUCCCUAAGCAAGUGAUUUAGACUAAUGCAAAACCUGCUAGCUGCGCAACAUAACGAGUGUUAAAAUCAAAUUGGAUAAAGUGGAUGCUCCAAGUCCAAUCUCCAGGUACUCUCCCAAAGUGAAAAGUUCCGGCUUCUCGUCUAGCUCUAGCUGCAACACAUGAAUCAGGAUUGCAAGUCUCAACUACUAACUGGUCGGUAUAGUAAUUUCGGAUGGUUGUGUGGCCCCAAGCAGAAACACAGGAGCUGUCAUCGGCUCCUGUCAAUCACGUUUCAGCUUCCAACAUGAGGUUGAAGCUUUGUUUAUUCCUCUCUUCUGUGGCUAAGACGUUAUCGUCAGCCAAGGCAAAUCAAUCGAGCCCCUCUCCAUGGGCUUCCUCUAGAAUCCGAGACGGAAGCCGAUUCCCCGACUCGUCAUACGUGAUAAUCCCUGAGAAGGAGAGCGGCCGACAGCGCCUACCUUUGGGAAUUGUUCGCUGCCACAGAGCACCAUUACCGUCUCGAUCAUAAUGGUCCACCACUUCGGCUGCUUCCAGCUCCUGCGACAAACCACUAGCACAACUACUCGUGCUCAUCGUGCUUCUCGGAGUCGCCUCUCCGUCCUCUUCAGCUGACCUCAUCACCAGUGGACCACGCACGGCACACAUACCCAUUGCAGUCCCUUCAGCCAACUCUUCUUCUCAACUUCCAAACUUGACAACAAAGUAACAUGACACGCUUCCACCCCCCGAAUCCUACCACAAACUCUCACUUCAUUGCCAGAGCCCAGACCUCACAAAGUGAAACAGUAACUGAGACCUCGUAAGCAGACAGAUAUAACGAAUAUCGAGCUUCCAGUGUCAAUAAACGACAUAGCUGCGAGUUCUACGCCAAGACACUGAGAAUCUAGACGAGGAAACGAGCCAGCCACUGUUACGAUAUAUGCGACUCUUGUCGCAGUGGCCGGUGAACGUGAUAUUCUACUCUCUGUGAUAUGGGUCUCUCUCUCUCUCUCUUUCUGCGAGUGAAAGAGUGAGGGAGAGUGUGCAUCGAAUCCGCUCUCAUGCGGUGACAUCGCAACAUCACCGACUUGUCUAGAACGCCCGGUGGCCUGGAAUCGCAGAAUCGCAGCAUCGAUCGCCGGAGUUUGGACGCGUAGCACCGAUCACCUAUUCUGGGUGGGAAAGAAAUGAGCUUUUUGCAUUUUAAACUUGCGAGAGGUUGAUAGUGGGUCUUGGUGAGAAUGGAUCCAAACUUGAUUUAUUGUUAUUGUUAUUCUUAUUUAUAUCAAUAAGUGGGACUGCUCCUCCGACAUGAGAUUGAUUCAGUCAAGCUCUCUGUAUUUGGAAACAAUAGGUGCCAAUAAUUCCCCUCUUUGUCUCAACACUUGCUCUCUUUUUUGUUUUGUUUUCUGGAUUUGGUCGGUGGAGACUGAUGCUUUCUUUUGAUUAAGCUUUCAAAUGUGACUUGAAGAGUACAAUUGAAGUGAGUGUAUUUAACCUUGAAGCAUAUUAAACUCUAGAAUAUAUAUGUAUAAAUAUACACAUACAUACAUACAUACAUACAUCCAUUCAGGCUUGAUUCAAAUUUUAGAGCUUCAAAUCAUUAGUUCUUUUUUGUAGCCAAUCAAGGUUUUAAUGUUUAUUUUAGGGAUUUAGCUUCUCAUUUCUAUCAAGUCCUUAUUAUGCAUAUUAUUUUAAACUUGAUUAUUUUAAAGUUUUAUUAUCUCUUUUUGUUCUAUAUUUGUUUUUUUAAAAUUAUUUGAAAUUUGGUUUAAUAGGACUAUUUUUUAAUUUUGGUUAAGUUAUAAAAAUUUUUCUUUCCACACCUUAGUCUAAGACCAAUGUUAUAGCACCAAUCAUCUCAACAAUUGGGUUUGCCAACUACCACAAGAAAAUUGGUGUUGUAGUCUAUUUCAAAUUUCAAGUGCAAUAUUGCUAAAAUUACAAUUCUAUCACUAACAACUAAAUAAUAUCAUCUACUAUUAAUCAUAUAUGUAAAUAUAAUAAUAUUUCUUAGGACUCUACUAAUAACUCUUAACAACAACAAUAUAAGCUUUGUAUAUUAUCUAUAAUAUUAACUCCUUUAUUUAUAAAAUAUAAUUAAAUAACAUUUUUACCACUUUUAUCAACUCAAAAAAAGAAGAAUUUAGAAUCAACUUUUAAGAAGUCAUUUUAGGAGAAUCUCUUCUAAAAGAAUAUACAUGCUACUAUAAAAAUAUGUAAAUUUUAAACUUUCAUUGUAGGAUUAUGGUUAGUAACAAAUUCUUUGGAUAAGAAAAAUAGAAUUUUAUUUUUUUUUAAAAAAAGAAAAGAAUAUUGUAUGUUAUAUAGCUAAGCAAGUUUUCAAAAUAUUGCUAGAAUUAUAACUAAUUUUUUUAUAAUUAAAGAUUCAUAAUAGACUCAUUUAAAAAAUAAACAUAUAUCAAAGAUUUUUUAUUUAUCAACAUCCAUAUUAAAGAGAGAGCUAAUAUUUUAUUGUUACUAUAAUUAUUUUACUUACAAAGAUUUCCAUAAUUUCUAAAUCUUGGAAGUUUAGAUCUUAAAUUUUUAUCUUUUAAUCAAAAUAAGAAAACAACAUAAAAAUUCUUCUAAGACUAUAUUUUUUUAAUUUAAGUUAAUACAUAUUUUUAGAUCCAAAUAACUUCAAUAUAAAAAUGUAUGACAAUUCUAAAUAAAAAGAUAUUAAGAUCUUACUUAGAAAUUUUAUCAUGAUUAAAUAAUUUUAAAAUAUGUAAGUAAGUAAUAAACUAGAUCAGAAUGUGAUAACCAAAGAAUUAUUGAUAAGAUGAAUUUAUAAGCUACGAAAGAAACUUAAAUCACACAUACAUAUAGAUUUUAUUUUUUAAAAUUUAUUUUUAUGUAUAUUUUAAUUUCAAGGCUAAAGGCUUGUUAUUUAAACUUCUAAUGUUUUUCUAUCUUAGCUACCAUUAGAAGAUUUUAAUAGAACUUUCUUAAGAUGAUAUAUUAUCUAUGUCAUCAAAACAUCAUAUUAAAGAAGUUUCUUUACAAAAAAUUUUGAGCUUUAAAAAAGUCUCUUUAUUUAAGAAUUGUUCUUUAAGUUUUUAUAUAUAAAAUCUAGAGAUUUUUCUACAAAGUUUUAAAAAAAUAAUAACAACCUAUAAAUUAUAUAUAUAACACCUAUUAUAUUUUAUCCUUCUUUAUCUAUUUGAUCUAAUAUCAUUCUAAUUCAAUAUUUUGAUUUAGCUUACUUCAAAUCAAAAAUCCUAAAUCUUUUUAUAUUGAUAAAGUUCAUACCUUUUUUUUAUCCAAUGUUAAUAAUUUUACUUCCAACUACUAAUUUUAUGGCAUAUCUAUAAAUUAUUUGAUUAAUUAAUUAGCUAUAGAAUAUAAAAUUAUAAAAAAUAUGAUUAGUUAAUAUUAGAAACUAAGUUAUAUUAUAAUUAAUAUUUAAUUAUUUUAAGAUCUAAAACUCUACUAUAGAAGUAUUAUAUAAACCUUAUGGUUUUUUAAAGCCUCAACAUUGCCUCAUUAUUAGCUAGUAUAUCUAAAAGGAAUACUAAAAUCUAACUUUAGUUUCAAAAUUUAUUUUUUAUAUUCUAAUCUUAAUUCAAAGUUAUAUAUAUAUAUAUAUAUAUAUAUAUAUAUAGUUAUUUUUUGUAGAUAUAUUUUAAUUUAGUAUAAAAAAGAAUAAAUUAUAAAUGGUAUAACCAUGUAUAUUAUAAAAAAUAUACAUUUAAUUAGAAUUUUUCAUUAGUUGGAAGAAAUAUAGAUCCAAAAUAUUAAUUUUAAAUGGAUAAAUAGUAAGAAACUUAUUAAAUUAUUUUAUUCACUUUUAGGCAAUAAUUCUUUAAUUUUUCAAUCAAAUUAUUUAAUUUUAAAAUAAAAUAAUAAAUAAAAUAAUAAAUUUGAUUUUUGGACUACAAUCAACAUAGUUCUAAUUCAAGAGUUAAAGUUAUCAAUUAUAAAUUAGUAGAUGUAAAUCACAAUGUUGAGGUUAAUUAAGGUAGUCAAUUUAUUCUUAGUAACUUAAGUAUUUCAAUAUAUAUAUAUAUAUAUAUAUAUAUCUAGUAGAUGUAAAAAUAAAAAUAAAAUACUUCUAUUUAGGAAAAUAAAAAUAAAGAAUAUUUGAAGUAUUUUUAUAUAAUUUGGAUAAAAAAAAAUUAUAUAAAUAUUUUAACUAAAGAUUCUCUUCAAUCCAUUUCAAACAUACAAGUCAAGCUAAUUUUCACUAGUGGUGGGUUAUAAAACCAAGAAUCUAAAUUUUAUUAAAACAUGAUGUAUAGCAUUUAAUUAUGCUAUCAAAUUUCAACUAAUUUUGUGCUACCUAUGCAUGUAAAUAAAUGGAUGAAGCAACAAAAGUUCAAACAGUAGGUUAUAAGUAAUCCACCAUAUUUGAGUGGAAUUUUUGCUACCAUUCUUUUUUAUUUUUACUCAUCUUUAAAUAAUAUCUCAUACAUCUUUCAACUUUUGAUUUUGCUCCAAUGGAUUCCUAAAGAUCUCUCUCUACUAUAGGAUUGCAAAAGCCACUCAUAAGAUAUCAAAAUGUAUUACAAAUUUGUGAGAUUUAGAUGAAUCCAAAAUUGUUGUGGUUGCAACAUGGAUUGUUUAGGAUUAAUAUAGUUUUGAAAUGGCCUCCCAAAGAGAAAAUGAAGGCCCUUCAUGAAUUAUGAACCAUAUACUAGAGGAUGAAAUAGAAUACAAACUAGCCUAUUAUCAUGGACAUACAUAUUUGCUCUAAGAUUUACUUAUAUGAUUAAACAUAAGUAGAUGAAAGUAGAUUUAUUUCAUAAUAUUUUCUAGAAUAGCUUCCUAAAAGCUUCAUAGAUGCUACUUUGACUUUACAUGUAUUUGUAGUUGAUUGGUAGGUUAGAAACUUGGUCAACAAGUUAACCACAUAUUAAUAGCUUGUGAAACAUGCUAACUAUGUUGCAUACAUAUAAAAAACUUGCCUUGCAAGUUAAAAUAUAUGUCUUGCAAAGUCAAUGCAUUUUGGAGGUCCUAUUGGACAUCACUAGGUAGCUCCUAGUUAAGAGUAUAUAUAGAGGUAAGAGUGAAGCCUUUUUCACUCUUGUCAACACCUUUCUAUUCUUUAGUCUUCUUUCAAGACUUUUUAGUCUUCUUGUCUUUGGAAAUAGCCAUUCUAUUGUAAUAUCAUAUCAUCUUUGAGUGACUUUGUAGUUCUUUUGAGUGACACAAGAGUGUAUUAAGGAUUUCUUUUUUCAAGAUUUUUGUCCUUGACACGUGUAUGCUAGAAGUUGUGGUCAAGUACUUGAUUGCAAUAGUAAGGAUAGAUGCUACAAAUCAAUUUCAAGUAAGCUUGCACUAGUCUCAAAUCCAACUUUUAUAUCCAUGUGUGUUGAUGAAGAGGUCCCAAAUUACAUCGUCCAUCUACACUCCAUGCUAGAGUCUUAGCAUCAACAAUCUUUAUACACCUUUAUAAUCCCUCAUAGUUUGAUUUGGAAUAUUAAAUUUAGAAUUAUAUAUGAAUAUUAUGCAAUUAAUUCAAGAUAAAAAUCUUGAUUAGAAAAAAGAGAAUGAAAGAACAAAGAUUUGACAAAAAGAAUCAAAACGCUAAAGAUUGAUGGAUUUAGAAAAAAAGAGGAUUUUAAAAGAAGCUUGUCAUGGAAAAAAAAUAGACCUACAAAGUUGUUGAGUGAGAGGCUAUUAUGGAAGCAUAUGCCUACAAGGUGCUUGAAUAACUAGCCACAUGCAAAGUAAUUACAUCUACAAAGUUGGUACAACACUUUCAAUUUUAAGCCUAAUAGGUGAAGUCUUGGAUGCUGGAGCUUACAAGAAGGUUGUGAAUAUCAUCAGGAUUAUCUAGCAUAAACAUUCUUGCAUGGAAUGCAAGGUGAUUUUUGAACCAAGUCGAUACUAUAGGAAUUUUUUUAAUCUAUGUCAAUAUUGUAUUAAUGAUUUUAAAAAAAUGACUAUAGAAUCCACAUUAUAUCUUAUUAGAUUGGACAUAUUUGUAAUUGUGGGUACUAUUAAGAAGCAAGUUAUGGAUUUUAGAUUAAGGCAUAUAAGAUCUAAUUCAUCAACUUUUUUUGCCAACUCCAAAUCCGACAUAUUUAUUUUAAUAAAUAAAAAAAAUUAGUGGUAGAAUUUGGAAUAAGCUCUAAAUUUGUUGUAUUGUUGUGAACUAGAAAGACAUGUAAGUCUUCACCAACUAAUUUCAUGCUUUUGCCUUCAUUCUUUGCAAAAUUUCCAAUUGUGUUGUUUUAUCUUGUCCAACUUCUUUUACAGAUUGUAUAUAUGUUUUGUUUGGAUCCAUAUAAUUAUCCAUUGUUGUUUUAUCAAGUAGAAAGAUUUUAAUAAAGUUAAAACUAUUGAUAAUAUUGAUCAUUGUCAAAGCAUGAUUCAAGCUCAAGGAUAUCCAAUGCACAAGAAUUUGUUUCUAUAUAAGGUGGUUUAAGUUUUUGGAUAUCCAAUAAUCUUGAUAUUCUUUGAAAUAGGUCUUAAAUGGUUCAAAUAUACAUAUAUCUAGAGGUUGUAUGACAUACAAUGUGUAAGAUGGUAGGAUUAGAAUGUCCAAUUCUAUGUCUUGUGCUAAUCUUGCUACUUCAAUAGUAACAUUGUCAUAUAACAUGAAUUCUUGCAUGAAAAUAUACUAGACAUUUAGCUAUGGAAGAUAAGUAAAAAAUGCAAUAAUAAGAUCCUAUCAAAUCUAAUAGACUCUUGAAUAAACUUUAAUUAGUCUUUAAUAAAUCUAAUCAAAUUUUAAAUAAUCCAAAAAAAUUAAAGAAAUUAUUAAAGAAACAUAAAAAAGAUAUAAAUUAAUUUCAAGAAAAAUAAUAAAGAAAUCCUAAAGAAAUACUAAAAUAAAAAAUUUAAAGAAAUAAAAAAUAAUUCUUUAAAAUUUUAAAAAUAAAAAUUAUAAAUAAAUCCUAAAUAAAUAUUAAAUAAAUCCUAAUCAAAUCUUAGUAUAGUUAUAAAUAAAUCCUAAUAAACUUCUAUGGAUUCCUAAAGAAAUUAUAACAAAAAACUAAAAAAAUUAUAAUAAAACUUUAUCAAAUUUUAAAUAAAUUUAAAAAAAAACCUAAAAAAAUCCUAAUAAACUUCUAUUAUUUUCUAAAUAUAUUUUCACAAAAACCUAAAUAAUUUUUAAUAAAAAUUCUAAUUAAAACUUUAACUAAUCCAAAAUCAAUUUUAAUUAAAUCUCAACCAAAUUCCAAAUCAACUCUAAUCAAAUCUUAAUCAAUUCUAAACCAGCUCUAAUCAAAUCCUAAUCAAAUUUAAAAUCCUAAACCAAAUCCUAAACAAUCCUAAGAAAAUCAUAUGCAAAUUAUAACCAAUUUCUAUAGUUUUUUUUAAAAUCUCAAUAAAUAUUAAUCAAACUAUUGAUCUUAUUUAAAAUUUUACUUACACUUCAAGCUACAAGAAAUUAAUAUGCAUACAAAAUUUAAAGAAUAUCAAACUCACCAAUUGAACAAAAAGCUCUUGCAUGUCAGCUGUCUUCUUUCUCCAACCUGAAUGUUGAACUUUUAGCGACAAUUUUUUUAGUUCAAUUGCUUUUAAAAUUGGCUAGUGUAUAGAUUUCUAAAUCCAAAUAGUCCUCACCAAUCUUUUCUUCAAUUGAACUAGCAAAUUUGACAAGAUUGCAAAAAUCCUUAUUGAUUCUAAAUUUCAAGUAUCUAAAAUUCUAAUUUGAUAAAACUCUCUGAUCCUUCAAUUUAUUUGUUCAAUUGACAUCUAAUUUCUCAAACACAUUUACAACAAGUAAAAUAUUUUUUUUAUAAAAUAUCAUGUAUAAAUAUGCUACAAAAGUCACAAAAUCUUGAAAUUUAUAAACUUUAUUUUAUUUUUCAAAAUCCAAAACUAUUAAGUAUAUCUUAUUUUGGAAAGCCCUCAAAAACAUAAUAUGCCUUCAAAUCACAUGAAACAAACUCUUCAAAAACCUCACACAAGUCUACUCCUAUAUCUUGCUCUUUGUUCAACUAAAAACCCUCAAAUUGCUAUAGGUGUGUGGUUUUGUGCCUUGGAAUUUGAUUUUAACCUUAAUUCAUAACUAAUCCUUUUUAGAUAUUAGUUCUUAAUAUUUUAGAAUAUUUUUUACUAAAACCUAUUCUUAACUCCCUUCUAAAGAUGUCUAUAUGAUUUAUUUUCUUAAUCUACUUUAUUUUACUUAAUUUAUGGUCUUACAAAGUGAAUAGAAGCCUCUUUUACAAAAAGGCAGCAUUAACACUAAUUAAUUUUUACUACUUCCUUGUCUAUUAUCUAUAUUUUUAAGAUAAUUUGCUAAAAUAUUAUCAUUUUAGCUCCUCUAUAAUAUAAUCUUUGCUUUCUUCUUUCACCUAAUGGAUGUCUUACAACACAAUAAUGUAGGACUUAAGCCCAAUCAUACAUAGCUAAAACAUACUUCACAAGCUUGCUUUCUUCUUCUAUAAUUAACAUUUUUUGAACUCCCUCUUUUUUGAAAGAUUACCUUCUAUAAUACUACUUUUUAAAAAUUAUAUAUAGAAUAUCUUGACUUAUUGCUACUUUUUUAAUGCUUCUAUGUUCCUCAUACUUUGCUAAUAUUCCUCUCAUUUGCUCAUUACUCUAUAAAGAAUUCCUUCUUACAUUGACAAUGUUCCUCAAACAUUGCUUUGAUAGUAGUGGUUACAAAUAUUGGUUGCUAAUAUGUCGUAAAGUUGUUCAAAUGUUUGUGAUGUCCUAUACAUUAUCGUGUGAUAAUAUGCCUAUGUAGUGAAAAAAGAAAGGAAAAAUUAUACUAUUGAGGAGCUUAAAUAAAAAUACUUAAAAAAAUUAUCUUAGAAAUAUAGAUAAUAGAUAAGGAGGUAAUAAAAAUUAAUAAAUGCUAAUGUUGCCUUCUUGAAGAAGAGACUUCUAUUUAUUUUGUAGGCAUAUAAGUAAGCCAAAUCAAAAUAAACAAAAUAAAUAAUUGAUAUAUUCAUUUUUAAGAAGAGAUUAAAAAUAGAUUUUAGCAAAAAUCACCUCAAAAUAUUAAGAAUUGAUACAUGGAGAAGACCAAUUGUGAAUUUAUGUCAAAAUUAGACUCCAAGGCACAAAAUGGCAUAUCUACAGCAACUUCGAGAUUUUUUGGUUGAUUAAAGAAUGGAAUUUAAAAGUAGACUUGUGAGAGAAUUUUUGAAGUUUAUUUCAUGUAAUUCAAAGGUAUAUUGAGGUUUUGAAUGCUUUUCAAAGUGGAAAAUGUAUUCAAUGAGUUUGGAUUUUGAAAAGUAAAAAAAAGUUCAAAAAUUUGAGGAUUUUGUGAAUGAUGUAGCAUAUUUACUGGUGAAACUUUUUAGAUCUGUAAUUAUAUUUUUCUUAAUUAUGAUUAUUAGGAUUAAGCAUAUUAAGAAAUAAAAAAAAAUUCAAGUUCAUAAUUACAAAAAAAAAAAAAAAGAUUAUGAAUUUCAUAAUCAAUUAAUUUUUUUAUGAGUUAUUAGCUUUUUACAAAAAGAAUUGUAGAUAUAGCCCUAAUAAUAUACAUACAAACCUCAGGUAUCAAAAGAACACAAAACUCAUAUUAUUAGAACUCUUAAUAACAUUACUUUAAUCUGCAAUCUAAGUGAUCAAUCUCCAAUUCAAGUAAGCCAUCAAACCAUCGGAUUUGUGCACAAGCAUUUGAAUAACAAUACUACUCAACUCCAAGAGAAUCAAACCCUCAGUCAAGGCCUUCAAUGCAAGUCUUUGAAUAUAAUAUUUAUUUUUAACACUAUUAGAAUGACACAUGAUAAAACAUUAAAAAACUUACAAUAAAGCUAGCACUAAAUCUGAUCAAUUUUACACUUCCUAAAUAUUACAAAACAACAAAUUUAAGCUACAGAAGCAAUUCAUUGAAUCCAGCCAAAAUUUAGCAAAGUAUUAGCUCAAAAAAUUUAGAAUUUUCAAAAUCCAUGUACCUUUGACCAUUGCGUCUUUUAUGCCUUGCAAUUGUCUUUUGGGAGUGUGUUUUAACAGUCGUCCAAUACAAAGAAGCAAAUGAACUCACAAAAUCUAGAAUUCACCUCCCUUGCCUCACAAUCAAUCUAGUUGCAAGUACAAAUGUUGAAAAGCACUUUUGUUAUCUUGAUUUUAUUUACAACCAAAGCAUUUCGGAUUUUUGCCAUAUCAUCCAUGCUAUUCGAAAGAUUAGAAGUACACAUCCCAAUCACAAUAUGAACAUAAAAAAAUCAAAUGCUGAUGCAUAAUGAAUUGUCACAUAUUUGCAACUCCAUUAAUAAAUACAUUGAUUUUUGACAAUUCAUGCUAUCCAUUUUAAGAAUAGUGAAUUGUUUAUAUUGCUCACAAUUUAACAUCAUUUUUGCAAGGCCCCCAAUCUAUUUCCAACCACAAAAUGUUAUUAUAGGUCAACAAUAGGUUGCUGGCUUAGCAAAAAUACUCCAUCCUAUAGAUCAGAAAUGGAGGGGUGGUUUACAAUAGAUUGGCUACCUGAGUAUUAAUUCAAUUGUUAAAAGUAUCUAAUUAGUAGAGAAAUCACAAAAUGUAUUGGUAAAUUCCCACUCUAAAUUGUCAUCAUAGUGGCAUGAGUUUUGUAAUGAUUUAGUUAUCAAUAUUGCAAUGGAUGAGAGUGUUCACAACAAAAACCCAGCGUCAUUACAACACACUGUUUUGGUACAAAAAAUGAUUCCAAGCAAGACCACUUCAAACAAUUCAUUUUAUGUAUCCAGAUGUACAUUCCAUUAUUAAACUUACAUUUCACAACAGCACUCUGUAUUGUAUUCCUUAAGGAACUAUCCUCAAUUUCACCGACAGCUCAAUUCUACAAGCUUCGGAAGCAUGGGAGUGAAGAAACAGGAGUGAUAGGAAUUGCAUGAAACUGUAAGGCAAACCCACUGGACUCGAAGUUGAAUGACAUGGAAGUGUUUUUCUAUGGACAUGUGACCAGCUAUCAUUGCUGCUCUUCGGAGUACAGUUGCAAAUAUAAACAAGAAAGUCAUUACUGCAACACCAAUCUCUGUUUGAAAUCUGAAUGCCAGAUUGCCAUUCUACAUUACAGCUAUGGAAGAAACUCGUGGAAGAGCAAGUAAAGAAGUUUUCUUUCUUUCUUUCUUUCUUUCUUUUGUUCUCGUAGUCUACAACGCGUGGAGGAAUCUUCCCACAUACUUCUCCAAAAAUUGUAUAGAUUUAUCAAUUGGGUUUAGAUAAGCAACAAUGCCGCGACCACGGCGGAGAUGGACUCACAUCUUGAUCAAGUCUUGUAAGUGGAUCUGCAUCCUUUGACAAUCAAUUGGUUUCCGCCAUGCGACUUACGGGAAACUGUGGACCAAUUUUUAUACUCCGGUGGCGGUCUUGGACUUCGGUGCAGAAGCAGCUGCACCCUCCGGAACAAAAACCUAAAUCCUGGUGGUGACGGUGAAAGUGGAUACCCAUCCAUUCACUGACUCUCUUCGACGACGUUACGGUGAAUUCUUACGCGAAUGUGUCCCGGGUUUCAGAUCUGGAAGGCUUCUUCCCGCUCCGCCAAAUUCUUGCGAGACCGGCCGAAAUGCUCAUCCACCUUGUCGUCGUAAUCCUCCUGCGGCAAUUUGAGCUGAGUGCCAUGUUCGUCGUACACGAUCACUCCUGAAAAUGAAAGAGGCGUGCACCGUCUUCCUUUGGGGAUUGUUCGCUGCCAAAUUGCGACUUCCUGAUAAAAGUGACUCGCGGCCUCUGUGACGUCUAGUUCCUGAGAUACGGCGCUCACGUAGCCUGAGCUGUUGCUGCUCGUGGUGCUCUUCUGAUCAGACAAUUCGAUCUCGUCGUCUUCGUGCAGGACCCGAGGGCCUCGAAUGGCACACAUUCCCAUUCUAACGGAUUGGUUUAAUUACACGGCUCCAAGCGCACAGGUCGAUGAGCUCCUUCAACCACAACACCUACACUACCACCGGUCGACGACGACGACGACUCUGGAUCCUGAAUUAAAUCUUUGUCCAAUCCUCUCAAACAGCAAGCACACACCAGACCACGGAACAGCAAACUUCCAUGUAACCUGAACCUUGAACGGACAACGUGCAUUGGCUCUAAUAUGGGGAAGGGGGGCUAUUUCUCUUGUAUUGUAUGGCACGACAAAAGCGGAAUCAUAUGAACGCAACGUGUCGCACACGGAUGAAGUUAGAAAGAUCGAAAUCGGGUAGACAACGCCGAAGGUUCACGGACAGGGAGAUCCAGAAGGGACCUGGUAGCGAGAAUAGAAAGUUCCGAAAUCUCGUGACAUGGCAAACUACACGACGAACCUGGAUCUGGAAAGGGAACGAAAAUCCACGAUAACGGUGGCCCUAAAGCAGUCCACACCGACGGGGGGGGGGGGGGGGGGGGUGGGUUCCAGAGUGACGAAACAAACAAAGAUAGAAAGAAAGAACGCGACGGGGAGGCCAAAGCGCGUGAGGAUCAAUCGAUCGAUCGAUCUGGUGUCAGGAUCAUCGCAACUACGCUUGCUUGCCUGCCUGCCCCCUUCCACCCGGUUUCGCACGGCGAGAGGGGCCGUCGUCGGCGAUCCUGCGCGGGGAGAUCCCGGUGUGGUGAUCCAGGGCAGCAUGACGAUUAUGGCAGUGAGUGUGUGAGUGUGUGAGCGAGUGUUGCGCAAUUCAAUCCAAUCAAUCCAGAUUGGAUUUGCCUCCUCCUCCUCUUCCGUGAUUGCGUCCCCUCCUCAAUCCUCAAUCCUCACGCGUCGUCGAUGUCGUCGUUAGGGUUUUCCUAUCUGCCCUCCGCCCCCCGUUUCUACAUCCCAUUCAUUCAUCCAUAAGUGAUGGAUGGUGUAUGUCAUCCGAAUAUUCUCAUCCAUGAGCCGCGUUGUUGGGUCGGAUGGGAUCACAGUGGGAAUGAUGUUCCACACACACACAAUUUUAUCCUAUAUUGUGUGUGUGUGUGUGUGCGAGUGUGUAUUGUUGAAAGGUGAACAACUGAUAAUAACAUCUUUUAUGUUAAAAAUAGUUUUAAGUUUUGUAUCCCAAUUUUGUGCUUAUUGAUGUCAUCAACUUGACAUUGAUGGUUGUUAUAAUGUCAUCAAAUGAUAUAUCAUUAGGAACUAAUUGUGCUCUUUCCUUCUCUCUCUCUGUGUUUUUUUUUCUUUUUCUUUUUUGCUAAAAGGAAGCAUGGCUUGCAUCCAAUGUGAUCUUGGACCAUAUCAUAAUCAACGCUUGAAAUUACUUCAUUACAUUGGACUCUCAAUUUUUGGGUUUUCAAUGUUUAUGAACAAAUGUUUACAAUUUCUAUGACUCGUGAACAAAUAUUACUAAUUAAGAUUUUUAUCAUUAUUUCUCCCACAUUCAUG